RNAcentral lists this long non-coding RNA (49724 nucleotides) under Citrus maxima (pomelo). RNAcentral describes it as "long non-coding RNA (CMAX_LNC001931)". The stretch from base 41588 to 41694 matches the Rfam family "Plant small nucleolar RNA R71". The record is from RNAcentral. Lineage: Eukaryota; Viridiplantae; Streptophyta; Magnoliopsida; Sapindales; Rutaceae.
CAGGGAAGUGAAGUAGUUGAAGGAAUAAUGGUUGAUGAUGAUUUCUUUCGUGGAAAUGAUGUGCAUUUAAGUGCUAAAGCAUUUUCACUGAUGACCAACCUAAGAUUGCUCAAAAUCAAUAAUGUGCAACUUCCUAAAGGCCUAGAAUACCUCUCGAACAGGUUGCGAUUACUUGAUUGGCAUCGGUAUCCUUUGAAAUCUUUGCCAUCAAAUUUGCAAUUGGAUAAAACUGUUAAAUUUAAAAUGUGCUACAGCCGCAUUGAAGAAUUAUGGAAGGGAAUCAAAGUAAGAUCAAUUUUUUUUUUGGUCACUAAUUUAUAUUUUUCAGUGAAUAAUUGUUGAUAACAAUUUAUUAUUAUAGUAGUAUAUGAAUUAAGAAAUAUCAUUUUAGCUCCUUUUUUUGUUUUCAACAGCCUUUAAACAUGUUGAGAGUCUUGAAACUCAGCCAUUCGGAGAAUCUGAUUAAGACACCAGACUUCACAAAGGUCCCAAACUUAGAGGUGUUGGAUCUUGAAGGAUGUACAAGGUUGCGUGAAAUUCACCAGUCUUUGCUACGUCACAAUAAGCUGAUCUUGUUGAAUUUGAAAGGUUGUACAAGUCUUACAACUCUUCCGGGUGAGAUAUUUAUGAAAUCGCUUAAAACACUUGUUCUUUCUGGUUGCUUGAAAUUGAGGAAACUUCCACGCGUUGUGGGGAGUAUGGAGUGUCUACGGGAACUUCUUUUGGAUGAAACUGAUAUCAAAGAACUGCCAGUUUCAAUUGAGCUUAUGUCUGGCCUUGUUUCGUUGAAUUUGAAAGAUUGCAGAAAUCUUGCGACUCUUCCAAUUACAAUAGGCAAUUUAGAAUGUCUACAAACGCUCGUGCUAUCUGGUUGCUCGAAAAUAGUGAAAUUUCCAGAGACUGUGAUGAGUGUGGAAGAUCUGUCAAAGCUCUUUUUAGAUGGAACUUCUAUCACAGAAGUGCCAUCAUCUAUAGAGCUUUUGACCAAACUUCAAUGGUUGAAUUUGAAUGACUGCAGAAGUCUCGUGAGACUUCCUAGCAGUAUAAAUGGUUUGAAAUCCCUCAAAACUUUGAAUCUCUCAGGCUGCUUCAAACUUGAAAAUGUGCCUGAGACGCUUGGGCAAGUAGAAAGUUUGGAAAAACUUGAUAUAAGUGGUACAGCUAUAAGGCAACCUCCAUCGUCGAUUUUUCUUAUGAAGAAUCUUAAAGAACUAUCUUGUCGUGGGUGCAAAGGAUCACCAUCAUCUACAUCAUGGUUUCUGCGCUUUCCUAUCAAUUUGAUGCCAUGGAGUUCAGAUCCGGUGGCUUUGAGUUUGCCGUCUUCUCUGUCAGGUUUGUGUAGUUUAACAAAAUUGGAUAUCAGUUACUGUGAUCUAGGGGAAGGAGCAAUCCCAAGUAGUAUUGGCGACUUAUGCUCAUUAGAAGAGUUACAUCUGAGUGGAAACAAUUUUGUUACGCUGCCGGCAAGCAUCUACCGUCUUUCUAGUCUUCGGGGGAUUAAAUUAGAGGAAUGCAAAAUGCUUCAAAAUCUGCCUCGACUUCCAGCCAGUAUACAAGGCAUUUCGUUAGACGGUUGUGUUUCGUUGGAGACAUUAUCAGAUGUGUUAAAUUUAAACGAGCAUCAAAUCCCGAACAUACACGUUCAUUGUGUGGAUUGCUUGAAAUUGGCUGGCAACUAUGAUUUGGCGCUUUCACUGCUGAAAGAGUACAUUAAAAAUUCUGAGGUCAGUCUCUCACUCUCACCUGUGCUACAUUAUGCCUAAAACUGAUGCAAUACAUGUUACUGUCGGACAAGUACAUUGAACAGACUAAUGUCAGUUUCUUACACUGUCUCUCACCUGUUGCUAAAAUUAUGCCUAAAAAUUAUGCAUUGGUAUGGCUUUCUAAUAUAUAUAUAUAUAUAUAUAUAUAUAUAUAUAUAUAUAUAUAUAUAUAUAUAUAUGUAUGUAUAUAUUUUUUGGUGGGUUUCAGUGCAGUUGGAGAGAUUUUUGCAUUGUUGUUCCUGGAAGUGAAAUCCCAGAGUGGUUCGAGUAUCAGAAUAAUGAGGGUUCUUCAAUAACAAUAAGCACGCCUCCAAAGACGUAUAAGAAUAGUAAGCUUGUGGGAUAUGCUGCGUGCUGUGUUUUUCGUAUCCCUAAAUAUUCACUUCCAUAUCCCGAACAUGAUCUGUGUGUCUGGUCUACCGACGGGUAUGGACCGUAUGGUUAUCGAAUUUCGUUUGGAAAGCAAUUCGGUCAGGCUGUGUCAGACCAUCUUUUCCUAUGCUACAAGAAUAGGGAAGAUAUUAGUGAAGUGGAAUUUUCUUCGCGGUCGGGAUUGGAGUUGAAGAGGUGCGGUUUGCAUCCAAUAUAUGUGCAUCAAGGGGAUAAGUUCAACCAAACAAGUGAUCCGGUUUGGAAUUUGAACGAAUUCGGUCACGAUUGUUUAGGUUCAACAUCCUUUAUGCGUAGCCUUAAUGAUGACUUAGACAGGGCAGAAGGCAGUGGAAGUUGCUGCGGGGAUGAUGCAGGAGGAACGACGUCGUCUGAGCGAAGCUUUCUAAAGCGAAGUCUUGAAGGAUAUGUUGGGGCGGCUGAAGCUAGUGGAAGUGGCUGCUGUAAUGAUGAGGAGGAACCACAACCUAAAAGAUUUAGACAACUCGAAUGAAGGGCACAUAAUUUAUUUUUCUCUGCAGAUCGCAUUUCAUUUACUUUCUUUGUAUUUAUUUAUUGUAUCUGUUCUUGUUACUUAUUUCCCUGUUAAAUUACCAGAAAAUGCCUGGCUUGGGUCAAACAGUUGGACAGAUGUUUUAUUACUCUGUUUUUUCUGCUUUGCUUUAUUACUCUGUUUUUCCUGCAAAAGAUGUCGUACAUAGAUGCGGUGAGCGCGAGUUGUUUGGUAUACUUGAAGGGGCUCGCUCGGGACCACAAUGACUAAUUAUUUAAUGUUGUGUGUUAAAUAUUAAAAUAUGCGGAUAGCUUAUUGCUUUUGAGACCUAAGAGUCAUUGAUACUCUGUUUUUUCAACCUAAAAGUAUUUAUUUAAUCUUAGGGUGAUUGAAAACAAAUUGACGAAUUACCAUUAAACAAGCAACAAAAUAACAAAUUCUUUGAAAAGAAAGUAUAUAAUAGAAAGAAGAAAUUAUCACAUAAAAAAAAAAUGUUCCAGUUUUUGCCUUUAGCCUCUCCUCCCCAAGUUGUCGGGCAUGGACUUGCUUUCGCUUCCGAAAGGAAAAAAUAAAAUAAACAUAUGUAUAUUAACAUAAUUUUAAUCUUCAAAAAAUAUUUUAAUACUUUACAGUAUUAUAUUAUAUUAAACUAAAUUUUAUAAUGGAUAUAAACAUAAUAUUAAAAUAAAUAUAUAAAGAUUCAAUUAUUUUAAAUUUAUAUAAAAUAAUUUUAAUAUUAUCAAUACAUGAGAUAUUUUUUAUUAGUUGUAAAAUCUAUUUAACCCAAAUAUUUAUUUAAAAAUUUAAUAUUAACCAUUAGAUUGUGAAAGAUUAAUGGCUCAUUUUUUGUGUCAAAAUUUAAGUUAAAAUAUCCAAAACCAUGCUUUCAUAACGAGAAUAUAAAAUAAAUAGAUAAUAUUUCAUGAAUAUUAUUGGAGGUAAUAUUUACUUAUUAUAUUAAUUACCAUCAUAAAUGCAAUCAGCCUCUUGGUGACAUAAAAUUUUGUAACCACAAUCAAUUAAUAUCAACAAAACAAUCUUUCAUGAUUCAUAAACUAUAUAGCUAAUUAAGAAUUUAUGUUAAUUUCAACUUUACGAAAUCAACAAAGUGAUAUUGGAAAAUUAAAUGAAAAUAGGCUUGUAAAACUUAAACUUAUAUUCCUACCAUAUAAAAGUAUUCACUGUAACAUAAUCCAUAAUUUCAUGGUAUAGGUUGUGCUAAAUUGAUGUGAAAAAUAAUAUACACUUCAUGAUUAAUCAUCCAAUGAUCCUUAAUAAUAUACAAAAUAGUGAGCAUUAUGUUAAAUUUUAUUAAAGCAUGACAAAUGUGAAGAAUGACAGGGGCAGCAGCUGCAGACGGUGGACGUGAGGUGGCUUCGGGUUUUGCUAUUUUUCUAACUUUUUCUUCUUUUUUUUUUUUAUGAAAGUAAUGGAUGGUGGAGGGAGGAUUUGUGUAUGGGGAAUGGUUGAUGGUCAGGAAAGCUCUGCCUAAUACAAAGAAAGACUCUGAUACCACUUGACGCAUCGCAGAAGCGAUACUAAAUUUCAUUAUAACAUACGUUCUUGAAAAUUCAAGAAAAAAGGCUCUUACGAAGAAGAAAGUAUCUCAAUUAAGAAAUAUUAAAUAUUAUUGAUGAGAAGCUUAUGUAUGUUAUAAAGAACUAUCAGUAAGAAGCCUAUAUAUACUAAGUAGCCAACUUAAUCUUAAUCCUUCUUAAAUAAAAUAAAUAAUUUAAAAUCCUAAUUAGAUUAGAAUUCCAAACAUGAUCGAAUAAGUUUAAAAAAUAAGAUAAAUUCUAAUAAAAUACUAAAUACCCAAAUAUUAUAAUUCCUAAUAAAUUCUAAUUUAUUUUAUCUAAUAUGCUUCCUACAUUACUUUAUCGCUAUAUUGUCUGAAUCGAUGUCUCUUUUUACACUAGUAAAAAAAUGACCUUCUUUGAUACUAUUUUAGUAUCAAGAACUUGUUUUACUGACACCGAAUUCAGUGACACACCGAAUUUAGUGUCACUGAAUACGGUGCAAGAAACUUACUGACACAAGUUUUUUGUAUCAGCGAAUCUAUGUCACCGUAGUAUCAAAAAAAUAUUGAUGCUUGAACAUCACAUAUAUAACGAGACUAUGUUAUCAAACAAAUAAUGAUACAAAAGCAUAAUAAAUAUAACGAUACUUUGGUAUCAAUGUUUAUUUGAGAAAAAUUAAAAAAAAAAUUAGAAAUCCAUAUAAUAGAAAUUGAACAUUUGCAAUUGGCAUUUGAAUUGAAAUUUACAUUCAUCAAUAUGAAAGCUAUUACAUUGCAAUGAACAAUUUAAAAAUUAUUACAUUGUUUGAAACUUAUUACAUUGUUUACCAACUACAAAUAAUUUAUAAUCUGAUAUAUAGUAACAGCACAAUCUUCCAACACAUGUUUAUUGCUUCGCGGAUUCUUUCUUUCGGUAAUCGAAAUGAAGUCUUCUAUUAUUGUUUCCAUGUUCCAAUUUGACAUUUGCUCUGAUUAUUUAGUUUUGACCCACAUACAUGCUUUGGUUUAUUGUAAGUCAUCCGGCACCAUUCAAGACAUGCACAAUAAAAAAACUGAUAAAAUUUACAUGCUGCAAUCUACAUAGUUUCCUAAUGGCAUAUAAAUGCAUGCAAGACAAGCAUAUUAUAUUAACAAUAAAAAUUAUUUAACCGUUGUCCAAGAAAAAGAGGAGAAAUUAUUAACAACAUCAUGAGAGGAAGUCUAACAAUACAGUCAAACAAACAAAAGAAAACCCAUGCUUGGUUGUAUAACGAGCAUGGAAAGUUCAACACAAACACAAACACAAACACAGAGACCAAUGGAGUUAACCAAAGUAAUGAAGGAAUUUCUGUGCAACUGUCAGUGGACACACAGAGCAAUGGAGUUAACCAAAGUAGAGCAAUGGAGUUAACCAAAGUAAUGAAGGAAUUUCUGUGCAACUGUCAGUGGACACACAGAGCAAUGUGUGCAUAUGAGCAGGCACAAACAUGACAUCCAAGUGAAUAAAUUUAAAAUAUUAUAUCUGGCAAUUAAAUCAACACAAACAUGAGAAAGAAUAGAUCCAAUAAGGUAAAUCUAGACAACAAUGAUCAAAAAGCAACAAGACAAAAUUUGAGAAACAAAAGGUGAAAAUAAAAAUACCAGGCAUUUACUCCAGUAGCACCAUGGAUCAUAAAAAUUGACAGCUAAAAUAGGAUACCUGGAAAGGAAAUAUAAUACAAAUCAAAGAAGGCAUCAUUGCAAUUGCCACAUAGCAGAGAAAUAUUGUGAUCACAGAAUUGAAAAUAAAAAUUAUAAGUUGUGGUUCAGAGAAGGCUCACUUACUCGUGUGAAUAACUAUCAAAAUUAUUGGCAGUUAGCGUAUGAGAACCUUCAACAGAAUCAUCAUCAGCUUCCUCUCCAUGCUUAAGCGAAUGUAUAACAAGCAUUGAGUGGAAUUCAGAACCAGUGGGUCUUAAAUCAGGUCCUAUAGAAAAAUUGCGAAUAGUUUUUGUUAAAUUUAAUCUGUUCUAGAAACAAUGAAAAGCCAAAUAGAACUCCAUGAAAGCAUCAUGUUACACAAACAAUCCAGGUGGACGAUAAUAUACACUGAAUAUGCAAAAUGCACCCAUGAUAUCCAACAAAAGAGGCACAACUAUGUAAGCGGCAACCUACCAUUCCAAAUAAAAACAACAUAGAAAGGGCUGCUAUUAUGGAUAAUCCUGCACCAGAUAGUGAUGCCUCUGUCAAAUCCCUUGGAAUUUUCCUGCAAACAGAAAAGAAAUAAGUAACAAUAUAAACCCUGUGAUUUUAUCUAUGUGAUUUACUAAUACAAAGAUACGGGUUGGAUUUAUAAAUUACAUAGAAUCACCAACUUUCAAGUAUAAUGAGAUGGACGAAUUAUAAACAUUAUCAAACAAGUAAAAGCGAGUCGCUAACAAAGAGCAAUCAAAAUCCACUGUCACAAAUAGCAACAUGAAAGUGCAUAGUUUCAAAGCUUCGGAGUUUGUUCAAAAUUAUAAUAUUUUUAAUUCACAUACUAUUAUACUAAUAAAAGCUCGAACAUAUUUGUUGUCCCUACAGUCAAAUAUUUAAUUUCAUAUUCUUCUUAAAAUGCAUCAAAAUCCAUACAUUGUAAGUAUAAUGAAGAACAUAACUAUUAGUAUUAGAAUUUCUUAAGCAUUCAGCUGAUUCACUAAUAAUAAUAAUAAUAAAGCCUAUACAUAUAGAAGAAUACAAUCAUCAUACAGCCAAAAUCAGUGCAUUACAAGUAAUAAGUUAUAAAAGGCACAAUUACCUCUUUAGUUGCAGAUGAGUAGUUUCUCAAAGUGGAUACCACAGGGCGAAGUCUCUGGAUUAGAAACGCGUUCACAAGGAACAAUAGUCAGCAGUAAAAAAAAAAAAGGGCCAAAAUGAAUACUAUUUAGGCAUACUGAAAUAGAACCUCCUCCUGCAGCCACUUUCUACCUAAUAAACAUUAGCAAACAGAUAAAAGCGAGUCGCUAACAAAGAGCAAUCAAAAUCCACUGUCACGAAUAGCAACAUGAAAGUGCAUAGUUUCAAAGCUUCGGAGUUUGUUCAAAUUAUAAUAUUUUUAAUUCACAUACUAUUAUACUAAUAAAAGCUCGAACAUAUUUGUUGUCCCUACAGUCAAAUAUUUAAUUUCAUAUUCUUCUUAAACUGCAUCAAAAUCCAUACAUUGUAAGUAUAAUGAAGAACAUAACUAUUAGUAUUAGAAUUUCUUAAGCAUUCAGCUGAUUCACUAAUAAUAAUAAUAAAAGCCUAUACAUAUAGAAGAAUACAAUCAUCAUACAGCCAAAAUCAGUGCAUUACAAGUAAUAAGUUAUAAAAGGCACAAUUACCUUCUUAGUUGCAGAUUAGUUUCUCAAAGUGGAUACAACAGGGCGAAGUCUCUGGAUUAGAAACGCAUUCACAAGGAACAAUAGUCAGCAGUAAAAAAAAAAGGGGCAAAAUGAACACUAUUUAGGCAUACUGAAAUAGAAGAACCUCCUCCUGCAGCCACUUUCUACCUAAUAAUUCCCCAUAUCUUUAAUUGUUUCAAUUAAAAUACUGCCCUACUCACCAUAUAAACCGCCAAUAACAACACUAUAAAUAACACAAUCAGCAAACAGCCAAAAAAAAAAGGAUACAUAAUCAUAUCCUAUUUAAGUGAAUGUAAAUCGAAGUCUAUAAUUAGUUAGUAGACAAUAACAUCGUGUUUACGAUAUGCGAAUCAAAACAAAUAUUACAUAUAAUUAUUUUAAAAAAAAUUACUAACCGGCUUAUCUCAAGCAGACAUGUAAUAAAUCAUGCUUUCCAUCAAAUCAAGCAAAAUUUAUCAAAAUUAAUCAAACUACAGCUAUAGAAACAAUAAAAUCACAUUCGAAAUUAAGAGAAAAUUAGAAAAUUUUCAAAAAGAGAAAGAAAAUCGAUGAAAGAAAUAGAGCAAACACUAACAUUUGUUUCUCUGGUGUCCGCGUGUUUCAACACCUCGAACAGGGAGUUCUCAUAUAGAUUUGUGAAGCUAGUUUCUUUGACUUGCUCUUCCUCUUUCUUAUUCCUCCUCAUCUUGUUUGACUUUUUUCAUCCUUUGGUUGUCUUCGGUGGUGACCGAAGAAUCAAGACCCAUACGCUUCAUAAAGUAAAACUAGGAUGAUUUUAUUUUGUUGGGAGACUGAGAGUAAUUGUUUUGUUAAGACUGAAAAGGCUGGGUGAUUAGUUUUGUUUCAAUUUAGGGUUUCUUCAAAUGAGUGGGAAGGAUUUGGGAGAGAGGGAAGAUGAAGAGGGAAUAGUACUUUCGUCAAGGCCAAAAAAUUUCACGAGUGCUGAAUUUUAGACACCCUAAUUUUAAAAGUAAAACUACGUCGUUUGGAAUAAAAAAAAUUAAAAUUAAAAUUAAAAAUAUAUAUCUUAGUAUGAAUAAGAGUUUAUGAUACUAUAUUAUUAAUAACCACUGGCACUAAUACGUAAAACACACUAAAAGUUGCUUAGGUCAUCAAAUACUGAUAUUUUUUUAUUUAAAAUCAGCAACUUAAUAUCAGUGAAAGUCAUUUUUUUAGUAGUGUUAUUAAAAAAAAAACAUUUUCUCAUCAUCCAUUACUAAGGCCCCACUCAAUUGCUUGUCAAUUACUUCUUGAUCAACAAGUAAAUUUUUAAAAUUCUCAAUGGUUGGUUGAGUUGGACAACCUUAGAUAGUUGUAAAAAAGCUCUUAAGCUCAAGCCUCAAACCAUUGACAAUAAUUCUCUUUAUUCUAAAUUUAGAAAUUACAGUAGUAGAAUCUAACCCAGAAAUUUCAUGGCAUAGGGAUUUUAACUUGUUUAAGUACUCGUCAAUCGUCAUGUUUCAUUAUGAAAUUGAUAGUAGCUCAUUUUUCAAAAGUUGUAGCCAUAUGUUAUUCUUCUUUGAAAACUCAUUGUAGAAGUAUCCCAAUUUUUCUUAGGUAUUUUAACCUUUUUUAUGUGUUGUAGCAUUUCUUUUUCAAUUGUAGUCUUGAUGGCGAACAUGGCCUUCCAGCUAUAAUGCUUCACUUCUUUAAAGCGGCAUCCUCAGUUAGUGGUCUCAUAUUGUUACCACAAACAAUCUCCUAGAGAUCUUGACCCUGUAAGCAAGACUCCAUCAAUGUUGUCCACAUAUUGUAAUUUUCCUUGUCGAGCUUUUUAACUCUUCCAACUACUUGAAGGUCACCCGUCAUAUUUUCAAGACUUUAACAAUGCCAAGCAAGCUUGAUGUUCACUAACGAACUUGCAAAGUUCCAAACAAAGUACUCUAAUAAAGUACUCCACUUCAAAUUUGAACCCAACAGCCUUUUACUCAAUAGAUUUUGACAAGUUCAUUCAUUUAGAUUAAGAGAAAAGAAUUGAUGGUAUUGUGCCACAGGGAGGAAUCGGUUCCAAAGUCUUUUUUCCACGAUCCAAUCCCUAAGAUCAGGCAACAUAUCCUUCACCGAAAAAACAUAAUGAUCAUAUAUAAUGCCUAUUGGAAUAUGCCUCCACAUUAGCUUCGUUUUCGUUUUCAAUCUAUCAUGCAUUAGUAGCCAAAGAAAAGUACAAAUGCAUUGUGGACUGUGUCAUUGCCAAAUAUGGUAGUUUUCAGGUCUAAAAUUUUAAAGUGCGGGAAAGUCUGGGAACACUUUAAAACCAUGCGGUGGACUGUAAUAAAUAGAUAAUAUUUUUUCCAUUCAUUCCCAUGAAAAGUACAAAUGCUUUGUGGACUGUAAUCAUAAAUUAUGUAACUUCUCAGGGGUGUCUUCUGGCCAAGAUCAGAGGUGAGAGGUGUGAUAUCCACCCAGUUUAUAUGGAGGAGUUUGACAAAACUACAAUCCAAUGGAAUCACUUUACCACUUAUAAUAUGAAUGGAUCCCCUCAAAUUUUUUUUGCAUCAAAGAUGGUUGUAGCAACAAUGUCAAGGCGAAACCUUACUGCAUAUGUUGAGGUGAUGAGGAACCACAACCUCAAGGAUCCAUUUAGUGAACUCAAAUAAAGGGAGAAGCCUGCUUAGUAUUCUUUGAAUAUUUCAGUAAGCAUGCAUCUUCAAUUUCAGUUGGCAAUUUUUAUUUUAUAUAUGUUAAAUUACCACAAAACCAAAAUAUCAUCUCUAAAGUUGUUACCUUCCAUGAAUCGAAAAUGCUUUCAUGCUUGAUCAGAUUGUUUAAGUAUGCGUUCCUAAAAUAUACAAAAGUGCUCAGGAAAAUGGCACGGAAUAAUUAGUGUAUAAUAAAUUUUAUUUUUGGUAAUUUUUUAGAUGCAUAUGGUUUUAAAGUUCUCUUCAAAUAGCUGGACUUGCCAUAUACUAUAAUAUUGUUUAGUAAGGCAUUACUAUCAUAUCAUAUAUUUUGUUUAUCUAUCAUUAAUAUUUACAUUUUUAUUAUUUCAUUAAUCUUAUUUUAAUUUACUUUGUAUUCAUAGACAUAAUUUAAGAAUAUAAUAUUAUUGUUCUUAUGUUUCCGUUUUCGUAUAUAAAUUCCUGGAAGAUGCUCCAACAUCAAUUUUGUCGUUAUUGAAUAAACAAAAAAAAAAAAAAAGAUACAACAACUGAUGCUCUCAUUCACAAAGAACUAGAUAAUGUUCAGGCAUUAGAUGACUCCAGACAGCUGCAAGCUAUGAAAGAAGAAUAUGAUGUUUUGAUUAAGAAUAAUACAUGGACAUUAGUUCCAAGACAAGCUGUCAUCACGUUGCUGACAAUAAAUGGGUGUGAAGGAUCAAGUAUAACAAAGAUGGAAGUGUAGCUAAGUAUAAAUCCAAGCUUAUUGCAAAAGGAUUUUAGCAAGUGGCAGGGGUGAAUUACUUUAAAACAUUCAGUCAAGUGGUUAAAUUAGCUAUUAUUAGAGUGGUGUUGAGCCUAGGAGUGAUGAACUAAUGGAAAAUAAGACAAGUUAAUGUUAACAAUGCCUUUUUUAAUGGAGAGUUAAAUGAGGAGGUAUUCAUGUGUCAGCCGGAAAGGCUUUAUUAAUGUUGAGAAACUUGAAUUUGUGUGCAAAUUGUACAAAUGUCUAUAUAGACUCAAACAAGUUCCUAGAGCUUAAUUUGAUAAGCUAAAAAGUUGUUAAUUGCAUUAGGGUUUUAUUAAUACUAAUUUGGAUACCUCUCUUUUCAUAAGAAGAAACACUCAUUACAAGUCCAAGUACUAUAAAGUUAAAAAGUUUUAUAACUCAGUUUAGGAAAGCAUUUGCCUUAAAAGACUUAGGAAUAUUAUCUUAUUUCCUUGGAAUUAAAGUGUUGCAAGACGCACAUUGUGUAUAUUUAUCACAAAGAAAAUACAUAAGAGAUCUGUUGUCUAUAGUUGAAAUGGUUGAAUGCAAAGGCAUUGACACACUUAUGGUGUCAAUGCCUAUGUUGGCAUUGACACCCCAACAUAGGCAUUAAACCAACAUCAUAUAAAUUAGCAUUAAGUUCGAUCAAAUUCAUAUUGUCUUCAAUAAGAUUUGAAAGUAAGUGAAGUUUAACACACCAAUAGUUUUGGUGAUCUGUCUGAAACGUAAUAGACAACACCACUUAUUGGAUUUUAUUUCCUAAAAUACUUAUUGUUUAAUUUAUAAAAUAUAAACUCAUUUAUUAAAAUUAAAUAUCUUCUCAUAAAUAUAGAUAUAAAUUAUGAAAUGAUGUGGGUGUAAAUUAUUUAUUAAAACCUUAAUUUAUUUAAGUGUUUAAUUGAAAUCCCAUUUAAAAUUUUUUAAAAAUUAUUUAUUUAUAGUUAUUCAAGUAGUUUUAAUAGAAAAUGAAUUUUAUAAGAAAUUUUAAGGGAUGUCGAAAGGCUACUCUUGAAAUAAAUGACCCAAGUCCAUUUGGGCCCAUGUAUAAGGAACGAGGUCUCAGUUUAAAGGCCGGAUCGGGGUCGAGCCUCAACUCACGCUUACAUAAAAAGGAAUGAGAAAAAAUUAAAAAUAUAAAUGGAUUUCUCUAUGAUGCUGUAAUUUUUUUAUAGCAUCAAUAAUGUUUUAAUUGUGUACCAUUGGAUUAAAUCUAAUGGUAUACAAUAUUUGUACUAAAGAAAAAAAAUUAAAAAUAAUAGUAAACAGAUUGUUAACCGUUCAAGGGGUGGAUAAAUUUUGUAAAAUAAUUGUGAUCACCCUUAGAGUUUGAAGCAAUUUAACUUAAAUAGCAUAUUUUAUUUAAAAUUACUUUUCUACUCUCCUUUAAAUUUGUAUUGUGAUAAUCUUUUUUAAAAUAAAUCUUCCAAAAUCUAUUAUCAUUAAGUAUAAAAUAUAAUAUGAAGUAGGUUAUUUAACACAAAUCAAAUAAAUAAGUUGCAAUUGUAAAAUUAAUUAUAUAUAAUAUAACACUAGUAAAUAAUACAACUAAAUAAAUAUAUUUAAGUAAAUGUCAUAGGUACAUCAAUAAACUCACUGGUGAGAUUGCUUGUAAUCUAAAAAAGACUUAAUCACACAUAUUUUAAUAAAAUUUAAUAUCUUAUAUCAAAAUAUUCAUUAUUUUAUAUAAUUUUAAGGACCGUUGUAUAAUUGAUUAUGAAGUAUAUAUUAUUUUUAACACUUGUUUAACAUACCUAUUCUCUCAUCUUUUUGUUUAGGAUUUCUCUAUAAUAUUGUAUGAGUUUUUACAGCAUUGAUAAUAGGAUUGUUGUGGACUCUUAGAUGUUAGGGUUUUCAUGUUUAGUAUUCAUUUGAUAUAGUGAAUAAAAAAUUAGCUAUUUAAAUCAUAACAAGUAAUCUUCAUGCUGCAAGUAAAUAUAGAUUUUUUUAUUUUUAAUUAAUUGAUAAAAGAAAAUUUAUAUUAUGAUGGAUAAAAAUCCCAGAAUCAAUAAUGGGAUCAUUGGAUUUAAUAUUAGAAUCUUCACCCUUAAUUUAAUUUUAAUGGAUAAGUAAUUAUGUAACAAGUAAUAUGCAAGUUGUGAUAUUUCUUCAUAUUUUAAAUUAUUUUUUAUCUAAUCAAUCAAUAAAUAUUUUAAAUCAUUAAAAAAAGGAAAGAAAUACAAAUAAUUUUGGAAUUAAAAUUAUUAUAUAUUAAUCCUCUUACUUUACAAUUUUACAUUUUUAUUUUACUUUUACAUUUAGUAUUAGAAAUAUAUUUAAUAGCAUUAAAAUAAAUGUAAUUAACAAGUAAUGGUAUUUCAAUAAUACUUUAUAUAAAGUUAUUACAUAAAGUCUUAUAAUAAUUUGUAUUGUGUGAAUUUAAUUACAAACCAUUAAUACCUAAACAAUAAUGAUAAUAGAAGGCAUUGUAAUAAAAUAUUUUAUAUAUGUUUUAUUAGUAAUACUAUGAGUCACAACAAAUGAGAAAUAUUUUAUUCACCAAUGAAAAAAAAAUAUAUGGCUAUAUAAAUAUAUAGUGAGAAAUAUUUUGAUUUAAUUUUUUAACAAAAAAUUAAACUAUUAAUUUCAUGCAAUUCAAUGGUGGAGGAUAUGCCAAUAUGAAAUGCUGCUUUGAUAUGACAAUAUGAAAUGUUGCUUUGGCUUUUAAUAUUAACCAUUACACUAUAAGAAUAAGAUAUUAAUGGCUAAAAUAUUAUGUAAAAAUUUUAAGUUCAAGUAUCCCAAACCAUGUCUUUAUAAUGGAAAUAUAAAAACAUGCAAUGAAUUUUUUUCUCAUUUUGUCAUUAAAUAUUAUUGGAUGCAAUAUUUUAUUUAUUGUACUAUUACUUAUCAUAAUAAAAGUAAUGACUCUUAGUAACAUAAAAAUUUUAUAAUUACAAUCAAAGGAUGUCAAUAAAAUAAUCUUUCAUGAUUCAUAAACUAAAACUCAUUAGGAAUAUGUGUUAGAUUAAACUUUUAUGAAAUUAACAAAGUGACAUUUGAAAAUAAAAUGAAAAUAAGCUUGUGAAAGUUAAAUUUUAUAAAGCUUGAAUAAUUUUCUACCAUGUAAAUAAAAAUAUAAAAAUAAUCUUUCAUGAUUUUUUCCCUUUUUUCCACAUAAAUAUUAUUGGAGACAAUAUUUUAUUCAUUGUCACUAGUAAUUACCAUAAUAAAAGUAAUGGCUCUCAGUAACAUAAAAUUUUAUAAUUACAAUCAAAGGAUGUCAAUAAAAUAAUCUUUCAUGAUUCAUAAAAUAAAGUUAAUUAGGAAUAUAUAUUAGAUUUAACUUUUAUGAAAUUAACAAAGUGAUAUUUGAAAAUAAAAUGAAAAUAUAUAGGCUUGUAAAACUUAAAAUUUCUAUCAUGUAAGAAUAUUAAUUAUAAGAUAAACAAAAAUAAUAUAUAUUUUAUAAUCAAUUAUACAAUAGUCUUAGUAUUAUAUAAAAUAAUGAACAUUUUAAUUUGCGAUUUUAAAUUUUAUUAAAACAUGAGUGAUUAAGUAGUUUUUAAGUUACAAUCAAUCUCACCAAUUAGUUUAUUAAUGUAACUAUGACGUUUACUUAAGUAUAUGUACUUAGUUGUGUUAUUUAUUAGUAUUAUAUCAUAUAUAAAUUUUGUAAUUGCAAUUUAUUUAUUUGAUUUGUGUUAAAUAACAUACUUCAUAUUUAUUUUAUACUUAAUGGUAAUAGAUUUUGGAAGAUUUAUUUAGAAAAGAUUAUCACAAUACAAAUUUAAAGGAGAGUUGAAAAGUAAUUUUAAAUAAAAUAUGUUAUUUAAGUGAAAUUGCUUCAAACUCUAAGGGUGGUCAAUGUGAUUUUACAAAAAUUUCUCCACUCUUAAACCGUUAACAAACUGUUUACCAUUGUUUUUAUUAUUUUUUUUCUUUAGCAAAAAUAUUAUAUACCAUUAGAUUUAAUCCAAUGGUACACAAUUAAAACAUUAUUGAUGUUGUAAAAAAAAUUACAGCAUCAUAGAGGGACCUAAUAUAAAUACAUACAUAAAAUUAGUUAAAUCAUUAAUGCAUAUAUUAAAAUUAAAAAUCUGCUUACGUUUAUAGUCAAAAAUCGCUGAAGGUUCUUUGCAUGUUUUCGCUUGUGGGGCUGUGGUCAGAAACUGUGAGGGAGAAUUUCUGGGGGAUUUCUCAUGUCCAUUACAUGUUGAAACUGCUUUUGUUGCUGAACUGUUGGCUGUUAUCUUGGCGAUUGAGCAUACUUCUUUUGGAUGUUGGACUAUGCCGUGGAUCAAAUGUGAAUAUGCUUUAACUGUGCUUCAUCUUCGUAAAAAGCGGCUUCCGCCCAUGGUUUCUCAUUCAUCGAUGGAAUAAUUGUAUUGCUCUUAUGGAUUCCAUGACGUUGCACUUUUCUCGUGUCUUCAGGGAGGCUGAUGGGGUAGCUGGUUGUUUGAGCAAUUUAGGUGCCAUGGUGGAUUCCUUUACUUGGUGGGACUCUGCACCCCUCAUGUUGCUUCUCUUUUGCAUGAGGAUGCUUUUAGGCUGCCUAGCUAUCUGUUCAGCUAGCUUUUGUAAUUUUAGUUUGGCUGGUUUUCUUGCUAUAUUUUUAUUUUAUUUUAAUAAAACCUCCUCACUUUGGUGAGGAUUCAUCAAAAAACAAAAGGAAAAAAAGUUAGAACAACCUAGAUCAAGUAAAUUAUAUCGCAGGGAUUUUCGAAGAAAUUCAAGCAUUGGAAGGAUGAAAAACAAAUAUGUAGAUGAUCGAUCUCACCUUAUAUGGAAUUGCAGGCCAAGUUCAAGGAAGGAAUUUUUGAGAAAUUAUGUUCGAUAAAAUGCCCAAGAAGGAAUGCAUCCCACCUGAUGCGUUGAACAAUGAGACGAUACAUCUGUUGCUACAAUUUAUUCACAUAAGAAAUUCAAUUAAAGCAUUUGAAUGGGAAAAUUUUUUUUUCUCUUGUUGCCAGGAACCAAAACUGUUGCCACUUUACUGGUAUACUCCGGGUGUUUUCCGCUGUUUCAAUUUACUUGCUGGUAUUUUAUUUUCGUUUGCUGAAGUAUGAUUAUUUAACAGCCAGUUACUUAUUACAAUAAGAGGCUGUGGAGUCAAUUGCUUGCAUCAUGAGCAUCCCGGGAACUACGAUGUCUGCUUGAGCUUUAGAGGUGAAGACAAGACACCCGCACUGCAAGAACUUUUCAGAUCACCUCUAGUCCACUUUGAAUAAAAUUGGAAUUAAUGUAUUUAGUGAUGAAAAAGAACGUGAAAGGGGAAUAUCCAUUUCACCAGCACCGUCUAAAGUAAUUGAAGAAUCAAGAAUUUCAGUUAUUGUCUUCUUAAGAAACUGCGCUUCUUCAACUUGGUGCUUGGAUGAACUUGUUAAGACUAUUGAAUGGAAGAACACGUCAUGUUCGCCAACAAUUGGUUUUUCCAAUUUUCUAUGAUGUUGAACCAACAGUGGUAAGGAAACAUAUAGGAAGUUUUCAAGAAGCGAUUGCUAAUCAUGAAGAAGUUCUUAAAGGAGAAUAUAGAAAGGGUGCAAAAAUGGAGAGGCGCUCUGCAAGAGGUGGCUAAUAUCUUUGGCUAGGAAUUGAAAGAUAGGUAAUCAUUCUUAUUCUCAAUGAUUAAUUUUCUAAGAUGUGGAACAACUAAUUUUUGUUUGUUCUGCAUGAAUCAUAAUAAGUGAGAAGAUGUCUGGAUUUCUCCACUAUUAAAAAACUGCCAAUAUUUAUUCAGUAUAUUUAUUUACUAGUUUCAUGUUCAGUGUGUGCAUGCGCAUGUGUAUAUUUGUAUCAACAAUAAGAUUGCAACGACCAACUUGCCUACAAUUUUCCAAUAAACUUUACAUGACAAGAUUUUAUACUAUGUUGUUGGGUGAAUGAUGUGGUAGAGCAGAGGGAUUCUAGAACUUAUCAAGUUUUUAGGCAUUCGAACAGGGAGAGACAGUAGAAUAAAUGUAUAAGAAUUUGUUAAAAUCAUAGGAUUUAAUUGAAAUAAUAACUUGAUCAAUGAAUAUCUACAUACGAAGAGUUAUAGACGAAAUUAGAGAAGAGUUACAUGAAGAAUAACCUAGAGAUUAAUCAAACACAAGUUAUGACUUUAUCACUUCCGUUUUGUAUAUAUAUAUUAUGUAAUUUUUUGACACUACGUUACGCUCACACUAGCUUUAGCUCACCAACACAAAUAUUUUCUUGUUCUAUUCAACCCGCAUGAAUGAAUCAGACUUUAUUAUGGAGAUUUUCAAUGAGAUACCAAGCAAAAUUCCUUUAAAAUCAUAGACUCUUAAGGAGCUAGUAGGAAUGGAUUCACACUUGGAGAAGCUAACGAUUCUAAUGGAUAAAGGGCCUAAUGAUGUUCGUAUGAUAGGGAUCUGUGAUAUGGGAGGUAUAGGUAAGGCAGCUCUUGCAAAGGUUGUUUAUAACUUGAUCUAUCAUGAAUUUGAAGUAAGUAGUUUUCUUGCCAACGUUAGAUAAACCUCAGAAAAAGGAGGUCAGAUUUCCUAACAAAAUGGAAUUUAUAUAAUGUUAUCAACAUAAUUGGAAGUGGGUGCGACACAAAAAUGUUAGCUAGAAAGUUCAGGCAGCAGGAUCAUCAUAACAUCCAGAGAUAAACAUCGUUGACAACACAUAGAGUGGACGAAUUGUUGGUCCUUAAGCAACUAUACUAUGAUGAAGCUCUUGGACUCCUUUGUAUAAAAGCCAAUAAGCUAGGGAAAGGAUAUAAGUAACUGUCGAAAAGUGUUGUAAACCAAUAAGCUAAGUUGUAAGAACAUUAGCUGAACAACAGCAGCAAAUUGUGGAACGUAACAAAUGUACAUCACGUGUUGACAAAAAACACGGUAAGUGACAAAGUGCAAUGCAUGUGUUUUGAGUUCAUGAUUCUAAAACUCAAGAAAUGAAGUAUAAAAUUGCUAUCAUUAUAUAAUGCAAAGUAAAACAUAUUCUGUAAUGCAGCCUACAUUUUAUUCAUUUUUUUAUGAUACACGUACAAAAUGUUUUCCUUUGCCCAAGCUAUCAAUUGCACAAUGUAGGCUUUCAAGGAGAUCCUUUGGUCCACAUUUGGUUAAUUCAAUCUUUGAUCCGAAGGAAACGACUUUGUGCCCUGAGAAAGGUAAGUGACAAAAUGUUUUGCUCGACAUUCUAUGCUUUAAAUCUAUGCAUAAAUAAUUUUAUGGACAUCUUCACAUCUUAGUCUGCACUUAUCAUCUGCUUUUAUGAUUUUUAAGGAACUGAGUAGUCGAAUGCAUGGUAUGUGACUUUUCAGAACUUAAGGUUCAUUCUAUGGACAUCUUCACAUCCUUUUCAGAACUUAAGGUUAUUUUUUAUUAAAUCUCCAAAAACACUGGUACUUUCUGGUUGCUCAAAGUUGAAGAAAUUUCCAGAGAUUGUGGGAAAUAUGAAGUUUUUGCGGGAGCUUCUUUUGGAUGGAACUGAUAUUAAGGGACUACUAUUAUCAAUUGUACGUUUAUUUGGAAUUGUUCAGUUGAAUUUGAAAGGUUGUAAAAAUAUUUAGUGUCUUCCAAAUUUUAUAAGUGCUCUAAAAUUUCCUUCCACUUUGAAUUUCUCUGGCCUUUUGAAAUUCAGAUUGUUUCUAGAGAUCAUGGGACGUAUGGAACAUAUGUUGGCACUUCGAUUGUUGGGAACUGCUAUAAGAGGAUUGCCAAUGUCAAUUGAAUAUCUCUCUGGCAUUUUUUGCAAAAUUUAAAAGGUUGUAAAUAUCUCUUGAGUCUUCCAAUUACUAUAAGUAGAUUAAAAUGUUUAAGAACUCUAAUGCUCUCUGGUUGCUCGAAGCUGGAAAAUUUUUGGGGAAGUAUGAAAUCUCUAACUAUGCUAAUUUUAGAUGGAACUGCUAUUCGAGAAUUUCCAUUGUCAGUUGAAUAUCUAACUGGCCUUGUUGUGUUGAAUUUUAAAGAUUGGCAAAAUCUCGAAUGUCUUUCAAGUCCCAUCAGUGGUUUGAAAUAUCUUAAAAUUCUGAAUCUCUCUGGCUGCUCCAAACUUGAAAAUGUGCCAGAGAACUUGGGGAAAGUAGAUAGCUUGAAAGAGCUUGAUAAUAGUGGAACAACAAUUAGGCAACUUCCGACGUCUGUUUCUAUCUUGAAGAAUCUUAAAGCAGUGGACCACAAUCAUCUACAUCAUGGGAUUUGUGCUUCCCAACCAAUAUGAUGUGAAGGAGAUCAGAUCCUAUGACUAAUUUGAUGUUACCUUCUCUAUCAGGCUUAUGUUCUUUAACAAAAUGGGAUCUCAGAGACUGUAAUCUACCAGUGGAAGGAGGAGAAAUCCCAAGUGAUAUUUGCCACAUAUGCCUAUUGCUCAAAAUGAACCAAAAUCUAAUUCCCAUACCAGAUGCAAUGUUGGCUGAAUAAUAAAUGAUAGUAUGAACUGUUGUUUCUUUGCAUACGAUCUCUCGGUUACUCCUAGAGGACUCGUGUACGACGUCCGGCUCAAGUCGUCUAAACUUAGUAAGUGAGUGCACGCGUUGGUCACGUGCACUCACUUAUACACAAUGAUCAAACGACCCGAAAAUACUGUCGUUUUUAAGAGCAUUAGUGUCAGUAUGUAGCUGUUAAAUCGGUUAGAAAGGGCGGGAAAUUAUUACAAACCCAUAACAAGCUGAUGACCGAUGACGUAUAUUGUAUGAUGUCCAUUCCGUAGCUUGCAAUUUUCUCUCUAAGUUUGUAAGUUGUUCUGAGAAAACAAAUAAAGCUUGCCAAAGAAGGCAUAGGCCACUGUAGCUAAACAUCUCUAGAUAUUGUGUUUAUGUUUUGAUUUUUUUUUUUCUGUUUGAGCGAAGCCGUACUGAUGAUGAAGAACCUCAAGCUACAAGGAUUUAGGAAAUCUAAUAAAGAGUAAAGCCUUUUUAUACUCAUGCUUUGUAUUAUGUUCAUGUUUCACUAUUACCUAAUUGAAAUUGCAUUCCAACUUGGAUUUUCAAUUUCUUGACAAACUAUAUAUUCAUUUGAAUUAUGUAAUAUAAAGAUUUUCGUAUCACUAGUUUGUGCUUAUUGGUUAAAAUUCUUUCAUUCUAAUAUAUCAAUUAUAAUAGGCAAAAUGACGUCUACACCCCCUAAAUUUUAGGAAAUGAUCACCAAUACCCUCAAAUUUUUUGAAAAAGACACCAAAACCCUUUAAAAAAUUAAAUUUGAAAUUUUUAAUAAAUAAAAAUAUUAUAUAAAUAAUGUAAUCUAUGCAAUAGACUAAGAAUAUUAAAAUUAUUUAAUAUUUUAAUAAAUUUAAAUAUGUAAAUUGUUAUAUUUAUUUAAUAAUAUAUUUUUAUUUAUUUUAGAUAUUUUAAAUAAAUAUUUGCAUUAAAUAUAUUUUACAAUAAAAAAAAAUAUCACAUGCUAAUGUUAUUAUUAUUUUACAUAAUAUUGAAAAUAAUUUAAAUUUUAAUACACUUUUUUUAACAUUAUGAUUCUAUUUAUUAUAAAAUUUAAAUAUAUAUACUAAAAUAUAUCUAAUAGAUUGUAAAAUAUUAAAAUAUUUUUGAAGUAUUGAAAUUAUUUUACAAUGUAUACAUUAUUACACUUAUUUUAAUGUUAUAUUUCUAUUUAUUAUAAAACGUUAGUGUUGAUUCUUUUUGGGAUAAUAGAGGUUAAAGGGUACUAUCGCUAAAAGAAGGUCUUGGUGUUCCAUUUUGAAAAUUUGAGGGUGUUGGUGAUUAUUUUCUUAAACUUUGGGGGUGUAGAUGUCAUUUUCCCAUUAUAAUAUCUUUUUUUGGCUAUUAUACCUUUUAAUUUUAGUAAUAUUAAAAUUGAUUUUAAAUUUUAAAAUAAAUACAAAUAUAAUAUAAGAAUAAAUAAACAAAAAAAAGUAAUUUUUAUUUUGGAAUUCCAAAUAUCUUGUUUUCAACAUAAGAAGUAUAGUAUCUCAACUAGAUCCUAAAAUAAAAAUUACAGAGAGGAAAUCAGAUUGCUAUUAUUAGACUAUAUAGGGUGCGUUUGAGAUUGAGGUUGAGCAGCUGUAGCUUUUAAGCUAUGUUGAUAUGAUUUUUCACUUGUAUAAUAUAAAAUUUAUUAUAUCUUUAAUAAUUUUAUCAAAAUUAUUAUUUAAAAUUUAUAUUUACUAUAUAUUAUUAACUUUUGUUUCAUAAUUACAUCUUUUUUUUCACAGCAGCUAUAGCUUAAAAGCUACAGCACCUCAAUCCCAAACGCACCCAUAAUAAUAAAAAUUAAUUUUUAUUUUGGAUUUAUUUAAAAGUAAUUGAUCACAAAAUAAAAAAAAAUUAAAACAAUUGACCCAGGGCCAGCUUCGUUCGUCCUUUUAUAGAGAAUUGCAGGUAAAAAUCAUGCCCAGAACACGUUUGAUAAAAUACCCAAUUGGAGGAAUGCAUCCACCGGGUAUGUUGAAGAGCAACGACAUGAUGUAUCUGUUGCUGUAACUUUGUGAUUUCCUAAGCAAUCAGAAUCAAACAGUCAACAACUUUAUGAUUUCCCAGUUAAUCAACAAAGUCAAUUAUGCUGCCACUUUAUGAUUUCCCAGUUAAUCAACAAAGUCAAUUAUGCUGCAACUUUAUGAUACAUCUAUUGCCACAAUUUUUUUUCACGUAGAAAAUUCAAUAAAAUUAAUUUAAUAAUGUACAGGCUCAAACUUGUUGCCGCUUUGCUUGUAGUGCGGGUUUUGGGCUCCUUCAAAUUGCUGGUUGAUUAUGAUUAUUUGGGAGCCAAGCUUUUAAGUCCAAAUAAAUUUUUUAGGAACUUAAACAAGAGGCUUUGGAAUCAAUUUCUUGCAACAUGAGCAUCCUGCAGGGAGUUCCUCCAUAAAACAUUUGUAUGUUGGUUUGGAUCAAAAGGGAGUCGCUGUAUUUAGGGACGACGAAGAACUCGAGAGAGGAAAAGUAAUUUCACCAGGACUACUUACAGUAAUUGAAGAAUCAAGAAUUUUAAUAACUGUUUUCUCAAGAAACUAUGCGUCUUCCACUUUGUGCUUGAAGAACCAAGAAUUUCAAUAAUAUCUUUUAUAAAUAUCAAAGUGAGGAAACAACUAAAUCAUCUUAAAAAGAAAGAAAUCAUAAUUUAUACUUAUUAAAAACAAUUAGAUCAAAUCUCUUCAUUGGCAGCUAACAACAUCAAUUCCAUAUUCAAGUCAGCAAGUUUGGAAAGGUCCAUCCGUUGCUUGGAUUGCUGAAUCGCUCUUUUGGAUAAAUUUUCCGUGCUUUUAAUGAAAGAAAAUUAGAAAAGAAAAUUAUAGAGAUUGAACAAUUAGCAACAUACAAAAAGUUAAAAUUACUAACAAAUGAGCAAUUAUACUUUUCCAGCAAGUGAUUUGUGGUUAGCACUUUAAGCAGCAGCUACAAUCACAAAUAAAAACACAGUUUUUCUAAUCACUCAAUCCGUCAAUAUUAGAGGAGAUUCUGUUCUCUUCUUUGCUGAUUUUGAUUAUAUAUGUACAGUUUUUUUGGUACUUGUUGAGUUGUAACUCAAUGUAAGUACGUCGGUCAUUUUAAUCGGUUUUGUUGGCUUUCUCUCUUCCACAGUACUUUUUCUCUGAAAAAGUAUAGGAAUGAAAGAUGACUUAAGCCCCCGUGGCUUUCUCAAUCACCCACUAGUUGGGUGUUCUCUACAAUAUUAUUUAUGCAACAAAUUUAAUUUCGGUGGUUAGAAAUUUGGUGAGAAGUCUUAUUCAUAGAAUCACAGCAUCUAAUGGAUGCUGAGGAAUUAUUACGCAAGUGUCAGGUGAGUGUUUCAAAAGAAGAGGAGGCAGACAUGGUAACAUUCAUGGGGCGGAUGAAGAUAAAGGGAGAGGAGGUAGCUGCAAAUUGUGUAGUAGGCAAAGUGCUAACAUCAAGAAGUAUAAACAAGGAGGGCUUGAAAGCUGCAAUGCAAAUGGCUUGGAGAACUGUCAAAGAGGUUAAAAUAGAAAGUAUGGGGGAUAAUAUUUUCCUGUUCAAGUUCGCCUCUGAAGAAGAAAAGAAAAGGGUGCUCAUGGGAGGGUCGUGGCAUUUCGACAGAGCAUUGAUAGUUUUGACCGAACCAACAGGGAUUGGAGAUAUCAAAAAUCAAUCUUUUACACAUGCCACAUUUUGGGUUCAGCUUCAUAACAUACCAAUAAUGUGUAGAAACAAGGAGGCCAUCCAACAGCUGGGAGAAAAAAUUGGUACAGUCAAGGAAGUGGAGACAGACGAAGUUGGGGAAUGUAUUGGGCAGUUUGCUAGAGCCAGGAUAUCCAUUGAUAUUUCACAGCCUCUAAAAAAGAUUGUAUUCCUACAACAAGCGGAUGGCAAAACUCCAAUGCCAAUUUUGUAUGAAAACUUCCGGAUUUUUGCUUUUGUUGUGCGCAUAUCGGUCACCAGUACAGGGAAUGCUUGAGAUACAAAGGACAACAAAAGGAGGACUUGCCUUAUGGUGGUUGGAUGCGAGCUGUUACACAAGCUGACAGGAUAAAGCAAAAACGUAGUAGGUAGAAAGGCAAUCGAGAGCAAUCCAAUCCCAAAGAAAAUGUGCAAGCAACAACCAAUCCAAGCUCAAACAACCCGAUUGAUCAAGACAGGUCAAAAUUGAACAAUUCGGAUCGGGAAAUCAGAGAUGGAGCAGAACCAGAGGAUACAAGAAACCUGCUGAUAUCUGACAAAGCACAUUUAAUGUUGACCUCUUCAGAGACGAAAAAUCAGCAAGUGGGGAGUCAGAGUAUGGGCUGUGACAUCGACGAGGUGCAGAAUAGGGUGGCAAGUAAUGAUAGCCACUAUAGCUAUGAAAGUACAAAGGCAGGAGAAAAGAUUUUGAAGGAGAACGAAAAUCCUGUGGAUAAAACAGGAUUGGAAAUAAUAAAAGAUAAAAGGAAGCAGAUUGAAGAGAGUGCCAGAUCUGAUGUGGAAGAAAUGGAUAGUGGGCCAAGCAAGACCAACGCGAAGCCCAAAGCGAGAAAAUGGAAACUUAAGGCAAGAAUUCCAAUAGCAAAAGGAGCGAAGAAUUAUGGGUUAAUAGGAGCAAAAAGACCUAGCAGUGAUGACCAUCAGCUCAGCCCACAACACAAAAAAAUAAGAGUGCUCAGUCCACCAAAACAAUCACACGUGGGAAACCACACAAGCUUAGCAAUAAACUCAGACUACAGCAACCACAUUAGCUCAAACAGAACAGCCCGGCAGCUACAAAUAACAGAAGAGAUAUCAGAUGAAGGGGAAUAUGUGGCAGCUAUGGAAGAAGAAGUAUCGGCGGGUGUUGAAUUUCAAGCCCGCCGACAACCAUGAAACUCUUAAGUUGGAACGUUCGAGGUCUGGGGAAGCCUCGAACGCGCUUAGCUUUCAAAAAAAUUCUCCACCUGCACCGGCCUCAAAUUUUCUUCUGUUGUGAAACCAAGAUGUUGGCUAGGCAGGUUGAAUCGAUUUGUAGAGAUUUUAACUUCGAGAAUUGUUUUGCAGUAGAUAGAACGGGCAUGGGGGGAGGUCUAGCUUUGUUUUGGAGUGCAAAUGUUAAUGUUCGCAUUACCUCAUACAGCCCACAUCAUAUAGAUGCAAUAGUGAGUAGUGAAAGUGGUUUGAGGUGGAGAUGCACCGGGAUCUACGGCCAUCCUGAGUUCAGCCAGAAGCAUAAUACUUGGACUCUCAUGAAAAGGUUAGCCAGCCUAUUUUCCUAUCCUUGGUGCUGUUUUGGUGAUUUCAAUGAGAUAAUGCAUAUGCAUGAGAAAACCAGGGGCAAUGAGAGAAACCUGAAUAGGGUUGCCGAGUUUAGGGAAGCUGUGCAAAGCUGCAAUUUGCAGGAUAUGGGGUGUAAGGGAUAUCCCUAUACGUGGUCAAACAAAAGAUACGGAGAUCAUUUCAUUGAGGAGAGAUUGGACCGAUUUCUGUGUAGUAAAGAUUGGGGGAUUAAUUUCCAAGAAUCUGUAGGCACAGAUCUAGUGAACUGGUCUUCGGACCACUGCCCAAUUAUUCUAGAAUUCUAUGAGCGAAGCAUAAAAUUGAGAAAUGCGGGCAAAUCAUUCCCCCGAGAUUAUUAUGAGGAUAUGUGGAGCUCCCACGAAGGCUGUAAGAGUAUAGUCCAGGAAGAGUGGAGUCGGUAUGGGGCUAGAGCUUGGGAAUCCCCUGUUCAGCAAUUUCAGCGAAUAGCCAAAUCUUCCUUGGCCCAGCUAAAACUUUGGAGCAAAACCGAAUUUAAUGGUAGGCAAAGAAAGCAAGAAAAGCUGAUACAGAGCCUCCAGGAUGCUAUGAGAGGGAAUUCAAAGCUGGAUGAUGGCCAGGAAAUUAGGAGAUUGGAAAGUCAGAUUAACUCUAUGCUAGUUGAUGAGGAGAUUUACUGGAAACAGAGUUCGAGGGCUGACUGGCUUAGAGAAGGGGAUAAGAACACGAAGUAUUUUCACGCCAAAGCAUCUGCCCGCAAAAGGAAGAACAAGGUGUGGGGGAUUGAAAACGACCAAGGCAUUUGGUUGAAGGAAAGGGAUGAAAUAGAGGAGGAGAUUUGCAGCCAUUUCCAAGAGCUAUUCACUACUUCCGGCCCGACUCCAAGCCAAAUCCAAGCAACCCUUUAAGGCAUGCCUGCUAAAGUAACUCCGGAGAUGAAUGUUCAGCUGGAGACGCUGUUCACCGCUGAAGACGUUGAGGAAGCCCUUGCCAACAUGUGUUCCACAAAGGCCCCAGGGCCUGAUGGUCUUCCAGCUGCCUUCUUCCAGAAGCAUUGGAAAUCUGUCCGUAUCGGAGUGAUCUCAACGUGCCUUAAUGUCCUUAAUGAGCAAGGUAACCCAUCUACCCUCAAUCACACUUUCAUUGCUUUGAUUCCAAAAAUUGCAAAUCCUAGGAAAGUGAGUGAUUAUAGACCUAUCAGCCUCUGUAAUGUUAUUUAUAGAGUUGUAGCUAAGGCCAUUGCAAAUAGAAUGAAGCCGAUCCUUUCCCAAAUCAUCUCCCCUAUGCAAAGUGCAUUCAUCCCCAAUAGGCUCAUUACCGACAAUGUUAUUAUUGGUUAUGAAUGCCUUCAUAAAAUAAGGCAUAGCAAAGGGAAGAAGAACGGACUUGUGGCUUUAAAAUUGGACAUAAGUAAGGCUUAUGAUAGAGUUGAGUAGCCUUUUUUGGAACAAACUAUGCUAAAGAUGGGGUUUCCUAGUAAUUGGGUAGCUUUGAUAAUGAGAUGUGUUACUUCCACUUCAUUCUCGGUGCUUAUUAAUGGUGUGCCAAAAGGAAUGAUCCAGCCGGAAAGAGGCUUGCGACAGGGCUGCCCGCUAUCCCCGUACCUUUUUAUCCUUUGUGCAGAGGCUCUCUCCAAUUUGUUGGUUUUGACAGAACAGAACCAGCUAAUCCGAGGUCUCAAAUUUGCGCGGGAAGUUUCAAUUACUCACUUGCUGUUUGCGGACAACAGCUUGGUUUUCUCUCGUGCAUCAGUGGCUGAAUGCAGGCAUUUAAAAGAAAUUUUUGAUAAAUAUGCUGCAGCAUCAGGGCAGAUUUUUAAUUUCUAGAAAUCCUCAUUAUUUUUCAGUGGGAAAAUUCCAGAGCAUCAAAGGGCUGCUAUAAGGGGUAUAUUUAAUCUAAAUGUGGUCUCAAAGGACGAGAAAUAUCUCGGUCUUCCAUCAAUGCUUGGGAGAAAGAAGAUGGGGUUCUUUAAUGACAUCAAACUAAAAGUGUUGAACAAGAUUGCAGGAUGGCAGCAUAAAAUAUUGUCUAGUGGGGGGAAGGAAGUUCUGAUCAAAGCGGCUGCCCAAGCAAUUCCAGCAUAUGCAAUGAGUGUUUUCAAGCUCCCAAGAGGCUUUUGUGAUGAUAUUCAGCGAGCUAUAGCGAAGUUCUGGUGGGGCUCGAAAGGGGAUAAGCGUGGAAUCCAUUGGCGGAAAUGGGAGAAGCUCAGCCAGGCAAAGAUUAGAGGGGGGUUGGGAUUUCGAGAGUUUACUUGCUUCAAUCAAGCAUUGGUAGCUAAGCAAGCAUGGAGGUUACUGCAGUACCCAAAUUCGCUAGUCUCAAGAGUCCUUCAAGCAAGAUAUUUAAGGAAUUCCAGCUUUUUAUGUGCGAAGGCAGGAGCCAAUGCCUCGUAUAUUUGGAGAAGCAUCAUGUGGGGUAGGCAGGUGAUUAAGAAGGGUAUGAGAUGGCAGAUAGGUAAUAGCAAGAAGAUAGCAAUCUUCUUGGAUAACUGGCUGCCAAGACCAGAGACCUUUAGACCUAUCUUCCCUCCAUCAUUGCCUGUAAGCUCAGUUGUUGCAGACUUAAUUAAGGCUGAUAAUCAAUGGGAUGAAAUAAAGCUUCGACAACACUUCAUGGAUGCAGACACAGCAAAGAUCCUCAAGAUUUCCCUCCCAGCUGAGAAAGCAGAAGAUGAAGUGCUUUGGCAUUACGACAAAAGAGGGAACUACUCUGUCAAGAGUGGGUACCAGCUAGCCUUGAGAUCAAAAUUUCCAGAUUCCACCAGCUGCACAUAGGCUUCCAUCAAGUAUUGGAGUGCCCUUUGGACAUUGGAGCUGCCUGAGAAGCUUAAAAUUUUCAUGUGGAGGGCUUCAAAUAAUCUGCUUCCAUCAGCGGAAAAUCUGUGGAAAAGGAAGGUAGUGGAGGAGCCAACUUGUAAGCGAUGCAAAAUAAGUGUUGAGACUAUCAGCCAUGCUCUCUUGGAGUGCAAGGCAGCGAGAAAGAUUUGGCUCCAAUCCCCCUUUUCAGCCCCUAGCUUAGAAGCUAAUUCUCAGGAGAUUUUCAGCACUCUGCAAAAUAUGGCUAAGGAGCUGAGGAAAUCAGAUCUGGAAUUAAUGGUAGCUCUAUGUUGGUCUGCCUGGUAUGCUAGGAACAAAUGUAUCUUCGAUGGCAGGGAGAUUAAUCCUCUUAUCUCAGCUGCUAAAGCGGAGUCAGUAUUGACAGCAUUUCAGAGAGCUAGGAAGCCCCAGCAAGCUCACAUCUCUAUCUUCAGAAAAGCGAAGCAGCAGGAGUGGCUCCCCCCCCCCUCCCCCGGAGAAUUUUUUAAAGUUAACGUGGAUGCUGCUAUUACUUCAAAGAAUCUGAGUGCAGGAGUGGGAGCUGUGAUUAGAGACUCUAAUGGAAAAAUAGUUGCGGCUGGGGUAAAUCAGAACCUCCUAAAGGGGUUAGUUAGCUUGGCUGAAGCAGAGGCGGUGCUUUGGGGCCUUCAGCUGGCAAGAAGUGCGGAUGUAUCCUCUUUGAUUAUUGAGUCUGAUUGUUUAGAGGUGGUCCAGCUAGUGAACAACACCAAGGGCAGCAGAUCAGAUAUUUUUUGGACAAUUCUGGCAAUCUAAAACCAGAUGAAGAACUUCCAGAAUGUUGUUGUCAAUCACAUUCCAAGACAUUGUAAUGCUUGUGCCCAUUACCUAGCUAAGAUAGCUUUGGGGAAAAUCUCUCCCUGUAUGUGGCUGGGAAAUAUUCAGCUGAAUUGUAUGGUAUUCUCAAGGUGUUGUGAUUAAUGAAAGGCUUACUUUCUUUUCAAAAAAAAAAAACUCAAUGUAAGUACACAUUUUUUUCCCCAACAACACAAAAAAACAAUUGCUUCUUCAACUUCUUCUGUUAUCCAUAUGCUAAAAAAAAAAAAAUAAGAACAUUGAAGAAAGAAGGCAUUUAUAUUGUCAUUAAAAGGAGGUUUUCCACUUGUGAUUUCCUUCCAGCCAUUAACGUAAUCCGACAUUCGAUCAUUCCAUUGCAUGACUCGUGAAGAACGGUAGGCUCUUGAAUGCUUUUAUUUUCUUUCAAUUUAAGAGGCAUUUACUUAUAAAAAUCCUAUGCUUUUCCUUAAAACAAAUAUAUUUUCCUAAUUAACUAAAGUUCUCUUAAAGCAAAGUACUUCAUUGGAAUUCAUCUACUUACAAAAAUCCUCUCUAUUUAAGAUUUGCUCAGGUACACUCUCCCAUCAGAUUUAGAAAGUCAAAUUUUCUGAUAUAUUUUAAAAUUUGCAGUAUGAUAUUUUAUUUUCUUUAAAGAAAGGAUAACAUAAAAUUGUGUAAGAUCAAUUAAAGUAGAAAUUUGAUUCAUGCGUAACUAUAACUUAAGUGAUCACAUAAUAGUUGACUUCUUUUUACAAUUUCGACAUGCUUAUUUCAUUUUUUGUGUAGUUUUUAUUUUGUUUUAUUUUAUUUUUACUAUUAUACUCUUGACUAUAGUAAGCCGAAAGUUGAUAUUAUAUUUUAAAAUAAAUAUAAAUAUAUUAUAUUAUUAAAUAAAUAAACUAAAUAUAUUAUAUUUUAAAAAUAAAAAUAAAUUUAUUAUUAAUAUAAAUAAUAUAAAAUUAUUAUUCUUGAUUAUUUUAUUUUUACUAUUCCCUGACUUUAUCACCGAGCGCGCAUCUCAAAUUCAAAUGUUAUUUUGCACAUGAUAAUUCAUUUACAUUCCAUUUAUUCAAAAAUCUGUUAUAAAUCAGUUAAGGGUUAGUGACGUGGCAUUGGUGUCCAUGUUUGUUAACCGUGGUUAGCACUUCAGCAGCAGCUACAAAAUAAACACAGGGUCUGAUUUAUUGUCAAUCUUUAAUGUGUCCGUUUGUCGGGUAGAGCGACGAGUUAAGAGAGUGUUUAUUGAGCUCACGCUCUUCCUUGUCAUUUCCUCUGUGAAUUUUUAUGGGUUUAAAUACUUGAACCUCGGAAUUGAGGCUACAAUGUUUAGUGCACAUAUGUUGAAUAUGAAUAUGAUCGAUCUCAGCUUGAUUUGGGCCCAGAACAAACGAUAAAUAGACAAAGGAAUGAUUAUAUGGAAUUCGCAGGCCAGGUUCAAGAGAGGAGUUGUUGAGGAAUUAUGGUAUAAUUCUCGUGCCUAGGACGUGUUCGAUAAUAUGCCUACGAAGGAAUGUGCAUCCCACCUGAUGUGUUGCAUCAACUCUAUGGUUUCCCACGCAAAAGCAAUCAAUCAACAAGGUCAAUUCGUGAAGGUUUGUCCUGCGUGAGUCAUAGCUAGUGAGCAGAUUCUGAGAGUCUUUAGUCUUUAACAGAAUUUUACCACAAACACAGUGCAAACCCAGUGUUUAUCUAAUCAAUUAUUUUCUUUUUCUAGCGGCUAACCUUUUUGCAAAUUUCUAAAUAGAAAUAUACAUGACAGAAUUUUCAUUAUUUGUUGUUUCAUGAAUGAUGUGGUAGAAUGAAGGAAUUGUAGAAUUUCUUGAGUUUUAGACAUAAAACAGAGUCAGGCCAUGGAAUGAAUGAAAAAAAUAUCAUCACAUUUGUUGGAAUGAUGCUGUGCUUUAUUCAAAAUUAUUUCUUCCACUAGAGAAGCAAUCAAUAAUAGUGUUAAUUCUUGAACCUGUGAAAAGCAAUUAAUUUUCUCCAUUUGUUUACUAGCAAUCUUCCAUAACCAUUGUGCUUGGCUGUGAAAUAGCCUAUUUGUGGCUGAACAUAGAAUCUGUUUUUUGUUUCUUUGUUGCUUUUUGUGAUCUUUGGCUUAAUUUACAAUUCAUGGCAUGUCUGAAAAUGGGUCGAUGAAUAUGUUAAAUAUGGACUCAGAUCUAGAUCAGAUUUAUCCAUGAAACAAUCAAGAGGAUUCAACAUUUGAUUUUUGUUUUUCUUUUCUCCACCCCCAUGUUUAAUUUUGGUCGGAGGACUUGGUUGAUAGGAAUUGACAACAAUUGAUUUUCCUUUUUUUCGUUAAACAAGAGACCACAAUGUCAAUUUGAAGACUUUGUUGAUAAGAAUUGACAACUGUUGGUUCUUAUUAUUUGUUUUUGUUUAAUAGAAGAUGCCUUGGAAUUCCGCAUCGUUGACAUGUAGUUGAUAUUUAAAACAUUUUGAUGUUAGAGCUUAGAAUGUUUGCUGUUGGAAUUCUUAUUAAGAAAAUUACUAUGCUGCUUGCAACAUAAUCAAAGUUGUAAGUUUUAUGCCCUGCAGUUCUCUUUAUUUUCAAUUAUGUUUUUGAAUUUUCAGAAUAAAUAUGAAGAAAAAGAUCAUUAAUUUCCAAAGCAGAGAAGAAAAUAUUUUCAGAAUUAUACUACAAUGACUAUAGGGAGAUCCUGAAAAUGAGAUUCUUGAUGUUCAUCAAAUAAGUUUUGAUGGGUCAAAAGAAACAGAGAAGAAAAUAUUUCUCGAUCUUGCAUGUUUCUAUGAAGGGAAGCACAGAGAUUAUGUGAAAACAAUUCUCAAAUAUUGUGAUUUUGACCCAAUUAUCGAAAUUGUUGGUCCUAUUGACAAAUCUCUAUUAACUGUAGAUGAUUUCGGCGGACUGUGGAUGCAUGAGUAGUUACAAGAAAUAGGGUAGACAAAUUGUUAGGAGGCAAUCCCAUCAGGAGCCUGGAAACUGCAAUAGAUUGUGGGAAAAAGCCGAUAUAUGCCAUGUAUUAUCACAAAGCACAAGUAGAGAUGGCAAAACCCCGGGCCGGGUCCGGGUAUUGCCAUGACCGGACCCUGCCCGGAUGCAACCGGUCCGGGUCCGGGUCUGGGCCGGGUUUUAUCCGGGUACCCGAAUUUUAUGUUUUUUAAUAUUUUAUGUGUAUAUAUUUUUAAUUUUUUGGUAAUUUUAUAAGUUUUAAAUUUAUUUUAAUAAAAUUUGACAUGAAAAUAUAAACUUUAAGUGUUUAAAACUUUAUAUAUGUAUAAUAAAUGAUUCAAAUAAAUAUAAAAUAUUUAAAAUAAUAUAUAUUUUAUAAUUUUUUUUAAUAAAAUCCGGGUUCCGGGUUUAUCAAGUGAUGCCCAAGACCGACCCGGCUUCAUACCCGGGCCGGGUAUUACCCGGCCCGCAACGCCCGGGUACGGUCCGGGUCCGGACCGGGCGGGUAUUUUUGCCAUCUCUAAGCACAAGUAAAUGUUCAGUUAGGUUGAAAACUUGCAAUUUUGGGAUCAUGAUCACUUAUUUAACUAGUUAAACCUUUGCAUAGUUUUAUCAAUAUUUUCUUUCUUUCAUUUUUUUUUUUUUGGUUCCCACUUAUUUUUUGUUAUAAUGUUUAGGAAACUGAUGUAGUUGAAGCAUCAUAUUUGAUUAACAACAAUGAGAUGCAUGUCAGUGCUAAAGCCUUUUCUAAUAUGACCAAUCAGACUUCACAAGAGUACCAAAUUUAGGGGAGCUGAUUUCUGAAAGAUUUACAAGGUUGCAGGAGAUUCACUCAUUUUUUCUGCUUCAAAGAAGCUGAUUCUGUUGAAUUUGAAAGGUUGUACAAGUCUUUCAACUCUUCCAGGCAAGAUCUUUAUGAAAUCUGAUUAAGACACUUGUUCUUUCUGGUUGCUUGAAGUUGAAGAAAUUUCCAGACAUUGUGCAAGUUCUUCCGGAUGGAACUGAUAUUAGAGAACUGUCAUUAGCAAUUGAACUUCUAUUUGGACUUGUUUAGUUGACUCUGAAUGGCUGCAAAAAUCUUGAGCAUCUUCCAAGGACCGUAAGAGCUCUGAAAUAUCUAUCAACUUUGAAUCUUUCCGGCCUUUUGAAAUUCAGAUAGUUUCCACAGAUAACUUCAAGCAGGGAUCAGCUCUUGGAGAUUCAUUUGGAAGGAACUGCUAUAAGAGGAUUGCCAGCAUCUAUUGAACUUCUUUCUGGCAAUGUUUUGUCGAAUUUGAAAGAUUGCAAGAAUCUCAAGAGUCUUCCAUGUAUGAUAAAUGGUUUGAGAUCUCUUAAAUUGUUGUAUCCCUCUGGUUGCUCCAAACUUAAAAAUGUGACAGAGACCUUGGGGAAAGUUGAAAUCUUGGAAGUAAGAUUGUCUUGUUAGAAUCAGGCGAAAAUGCAGAAUGACUUCAACUGUGUGGAACAGAGUGCAGUGGAGACAGUAACAAAGUUAGCAAAAGCAGAAUCGCUAAGGUACUUUACAAAAUUAAUAAUUUCCUUUAUAACAUGCAGUACCGUAUUACUUCUAUGUGCAUUGCUAUCAAUAUCUUCGACCGAAAGAUUCAGAUUCAUGGAAGAAGAAUGUUGAUAAGGGCAUCAAGCUAUCUACAACAGCAAUAUCAGCUUGCUCACUUGCCUGCCAUAGGCUGAUUCAAACCUCAAGAGCCAUGCCGAAGAGUUGAAUCAAAUAACAGCAAAUUCACAUCUUAGGUGGCCUUUUCUUCCAGCUUAGUCACUGCAUCAUUUUUUUUAUAGCAGGUUCGUUCUAUAAUAAUCUCAUAGGCACAUAUCAUGAACUUUGUUUUAUCAUGCUUGCAUACUUUGUUUACUUCUGCACAGUGAUAUACACAUUCACUAUCUCUAUUUUGCAUGACUACUAUAAAUUUAAGUAGAAAUUGAUUUUGGAAUAUGCUCUUAUCCUUUAUUAAUCAUAUAAAAAGUUCAUACGUGAGGGUAUACUAUUUACAGCUGUCUUGCGGAUGGAUUUAUAACCUUACUAAGUAAUAUUAUCAACAAUUUUUGGAUUUGCUGAUUUUAGAGCCUGGUCUUAGAAUCCAUAAUGCAUUGACAAAUACAGAAAUGAUCAAAUUGCUAGCCUCAGUAGUUGCUAUUUAUGUUAUUAUUGAAAGAUGAUUCAAAUUCUUUAUGUAUGUUAGUUUUUGUUUGGGCGGGAAAUUUAAGUUUUAUCUUAGUUGACUCUAUUGACCACCGCUUGUAUCAAAAAAAUCUGAAUACUGGUCGUACGAGUACUAUAUAGCAGACCCGAGGGCAUGCGAGGAGAGACCAAAAUCGAGUCAGAUCGAAGGCUUGAUCAAAGGCCAACACGUAGUUUGUCUCCAAGAAACUCGGGCACAAAGCCCAUUCAGCGGCAGUUACAUUGUCCAUUGACCCAUGAUUUCAAAGACGCAGCACGCACCUUUUCACUUCCAAGCCAACAGUAAUCGUGGGGAAGAUGGAGUCGAUGGUUCAGGUUGGGUAUAAAAGCUACGGAGAAUGGAGGUAAAAAGGGCUGGACAAAUUUUUUUUUUUAAUUUCCAUAUUUUCUCUCUCUUUGACUUUUUCUCUCUCGAUAAUUCUCUCUAUUUAUUUUUCUUCGUUUUGAGAAUUAAGAUUUCUAACUUUCAAUUGAUAUAAUUAAGUAAUGAGUUUGUGAUACAAGUUUUUCUAAAAGAGACCCAAUUACUGACAUGAGCGUUGGAGGAUUUUCGCCAAAAAAUUUUUGGUGCCGCUCUAAUUGGAUAUUGUGAGUAUAGGUGAUUCAACUUAGCGAGUUUUGGUUGAAGCUAUCUACUCGAGUGCGAUAGCCGUCGCACUGAAUCAGCUCCCUAGCAAAUAAAAUUUAAACGUUGGCGCAGAUGGCCUGGUCGCAGUUCCAUCGAUCAGAUUCCUGCAUCAACACCGUCAGGACUCUACCAAGUUUACCUCAAGUUUCCAUCAAGACACAACAUGAUGAUCCAUGUCACAAAUUAUUUCUAAUGUUACGAUUAUAUUUAAUGGAAAUGACUCAGAAAUCUACUUCUAAUAGACGUUUUUAGAUUUAGUCCCGUGUAUUUUAUACAAUUGAAGCUUCCAGGAAAUUUUGCGGUAAUGUCAUAUGAUGUAUUGUCGGUAGACACGAUGAAAAUAAUUAAAAUGUCACUUUUUGACCAAGACUUGCUUUUCGUUUUGUCAUACAAACAAACAACAACAGAGAUGGGAAGAUAGAAUUUGUGUGACGCACAACUAUGCUUUCUCAAUAAAACAGAACUUUAAUUCUCCAAAUAGAAGUCCUCUGCUUUCCCCUGAAUUCCAUUAAGUAGCUGCCUGCUACAGUAAUGAGUUGACUCUAUUGACCACUGCUCGUAUAAAAAAAAUCUGAAUAAUAAACUUACAACUUGUGAGGCUUGUAACCAAAAGAUGCCUAAAACCAAUUAUUUCUAAGAGAAGUGGACAGCUUGAAUAAUAAAUGUACAAUAAAAAAUUUACUUUUGUUGUGAUUUUCACAAAUGGAUUAAAAAAAAAAUGAUUGGCGGAUUGAAUAAUGAAUGUACAAUAAACAAAAAAAUUUACUUUUGUUGUGAUUUUCACGGACGAACAAAAAAGACAAAAGGGAUUAUAAGUGUAUUUAAACGGUCCAUUAGCCUUUAACAUUUACUUUCAAAUCUUUACUUAUCUCAACAAGAAAUUUCUAUAACUUUAAAAAAAAAAAUUAAAGAUUAUAGUGGAAUUCUUCGGAAAGAAUAAAUUCUUGAAAGAUUUUGGUGGAAAUUUUCCAAAAUAAUAAAAUUUUUAAAAAGAUUAUCGUGGAAUUUUUCUAAAAGAAUAUUUUAUUCACUUUGCCCUAUAAAAUGCAAUUACAUUGAGGCCGCCCUUGAUAAAAUACUAAAAGAAAUCAUUGCUUUCCUCAACAUCAUGUCGACCAUAACUUUGAUUCUAUGCACCACUAAAGACCAUGAUCAUGGUUCGUAAUUGCUUUCAGCAGACACUUUUGAUUACACUUUUUGUUUUUGAGAAAUUAAUUAGAGCACAAAACAUUCCUUUCAUUGAUUUCUUUGAAAGAAACUUAGGUCCUCUUAUACUGUAAUUUUUUAGUUUUAAAUUAUUAAAAAAAUUAUAAUUAUAAGAUAAAAAUUAAUAGUAUAUAAUGAAUAUAAUUUUUAAAUAAUAAUUUUUAUAAAAUUAAUAAAAAUAUAAUAAAUUUUUCAUCAUACAACAUAAUUUUUAAGAUAUAAUAGUUAAUACUCAUUAAACACUUUAGUAUUAUAGUUUAAAAAUUACAAUUUCCCAAGCUCAAUUCCAAAUAAAGCCUUAAGUAGAAGAUUAAGUAAAAAUUUACGAUCUUUAUUGCUUCCGAUAAGCUCAAAAAUGCCAGUUAAUUUUCUUACAUUUUUUCAUUUCAAAUAAAAGUAAAAUGCCGAAUGUAUUAAAAUUUGUCAAAAUUUUAUGCUAAAAAUCAUUAGGAGAAAAAUGAUUAUUUUAGCCAUUUUGAGUCCCCCGACAGAUUUUGAGGGAGAUUGGAAUCUUGUGUAAUUUUGCUGUUUGGAGUUAUGAUGCAUCUUUAUCGUCUUUUCUGUUGACUGAACUUGAUUGACCUCUGCAUGCGACCUCAUGUAGGUCCGUCCGCUGAAAUACGGGUUACGUGUUCUUUAAUGGAUCAACUCGACCCGUAUUUGACCCGAUAUUGACCCGCGUUUGGUUGGACCGUAGGAUGUAUGUGACGUGUCUUGUUGGCCGUUGAUCCGCCUUGUGUGAGGGUACUGGAUGGUUGACGUUGUAUCUGGACCACUAUUUUGAUCAUAUUGAACGCGGUCCAAGGGUUCUGAAGCUGUCACGUACUCUGCUACUUCAAACCCUUGUUUAAUUCAAUUUGGUGGAUCCAACGGCCAUUUUCCGCAUCUCUUUAAAAUGUUAAAGCAUCAUUUUAAGCUCUACAGGCCGUCGAGUUCGAGCGAGCUUAUGAUGGGUGUCGAAGCCAACAAAAAUAAAUUCCUACUCUAAAUAAAUUGUGUAUAGUGAUUGAGCAGGGUCGUGUCCACAGAGAUCGGUAAUUAUUUAAAUCCUUUUGAAACGUAAAACGUAAAAUGGGGGAAUUGUUGACAAUAAUAAAAAUAAAAUUAAAAAUAACAAGAAUGCAAAUUAAAGUUGUAAUUCAAAUUGGAGAAAGCUCUGGUUGAAGGAAUUACCUCAGCUUGAUUCGACUACUGAUCAUUGAUUCAAAUAUAGAUUAUUAUUACUCAUGAAUAGACCGGUUAUAGCUACUAAGACCCUCUAAUAGACAAUCUCUCCUUAACUAGUCGAUAACCAAGGUACGACCGUUGGUUAUUUCCCUAAUCAAUAGACAACCCUAGAUACGAUCAUAGAAUUUAAUCAAUUGACAGCCUGAAAAACCAGAGAGACCCAAAUCCUAAUCAACACAUAUGAUGAUUCAUUUAAAUUAGAUUGUUUAUUCUCACAACACAACUCUCUGCUAUGUUAUUUGUCACAAACAUUAAAUUCUUCAUACAAUGAAUCCUUUAAUUGACAAUAGAUUAAGUUGAUAAUUAAAUAGUGGUCAAUUACCUAAUUAACAAACAUAAUCAUGAAAAUAAUUUAGAGAAUAAACAAAUACCCAAAAAGUAAUAAAACAAUUAAAGCACAAGAAAGAUCUCACAGUAGUGAUGAAUCAAAGCUUCAUUAACCUUCAACCAGAAAAAUGAGUUUAGUUCCUCAUAGAGAGAAGAGAAAAAUUAGAUCUAGGGUUUCUUUUUCUCCAAUCCAAAAAUCUCCCCUUUUUCACAAUAGAUUACUCCCUUAAAUACUCUCUCUCUCUUCUCUUUUAGAAUUCUAUUUAAAAUAAAAUACUAAUAUCUGAAAUAUUAAGUUCGUAAUUACAAAAAUAACCAAAAAUACAAAACACGUUAAACUAAAAACUGCAGGUCCGCAGUUGACAGCACGCGCCCACGCCUUAUCAACAAAGUUCUUCUGACGCUCAUAAUUUCUUCAAGAGAACAAUCCUCCUUAAACAUCAUCUUUUAGCUCAAUUUUAUCACCAAUCAAUAGAAUUGCACCUACAAAAGUAAAACACAAGUAAAACAUUAUUAUUAAGUGCAAAACAUCGAUAUUAAGGGAAGUAAACAAUGCAAAACUAGUGCAUAAAUUGCACUCUAACAAAUUCCCCCACACCAAGAUGAUGCUUGUCCUCAAGCAUAUAACUCAAGAUUAAUCCCAAAUCUCCACUCAAUUCUCAUCUCAACUCAUCCAAAAUAAUUUUAAGCAAGCAUACCUCAAGAAAUUAAGUCGAUCAACAUUCGAGAGACAAGGAUUUUAAAGCAUAGAAUCUCAUAAGAUAGAAUAAGAACAUUCAACCACCAAGAAGAUCCAUUCAAAAUUCAAGUGCAACAAGAUGUAAUAGCCCUCUCAAUAACUUCACUCCAUGCACUCAAAGUGUUUAGGGUGUCAUUUAUCCACUCAAAUCAAAUCAAAGAAUGCUAUUACCAUAAGCUUGCUCAUAUAUCACAUCUCAAUCCACAAAACAUGAAUAAAAUGCAAAAAUCUAAGGGUCUUAAAAGGGUUGUAAUGGGGUUAAAUGGGUUAAAUGAAAAAGAAAGGUUUACAAAAGAAAAAGAGAUCAAAAUGAGAAGAAUGAACUCAUUGAAUGAACUUAUGAUAUCAAAAUGCUUAUUUCUACUCAAGUCACCAAGAAUGUAAACAUUUUUUUUUUUUGAUUUUUUUUUUCGAUUUUUCUUUUUCAUUUUUUUUCAUUUUUUUUUUCAUUUUUUCAUUUUUUUUUUGUUUUUUUUGUUUUUUUCGAAUCAAACAAAAGAAACGAACCUUGCACAAUUUAAUUCAAGCAUAAUGCUUGUUGAUCUAAUUGAGAAACUUCAAUACAAGGUAGAAAAAGCAACAAAAUGUACCCACACAAUGAGUCCAAAAAUCUCCUUAAAUUGAGGCUAAAAAAGAAGAAAAAUGGUUAAGUAGACGGAGAGAAUUAGAUGGGUAAUGGUUAAGGCUCAAACAAAGGUAGCAAAUAAAGGUCUUCGGGUAGAGAAAAAGGAAAAUGCGAGAAUAGAAAAAUGGUAAAUGGUUUGCCCUUAUCAUUUUAAUGCCUAAAAUCCCGUAAUGCGGCUUCAACAUGCAUAACAAAGCAAGUUCUAGAAUAAACAAACUAAGAUUGAUAUUCACAUAACAAAAAUAUUAGAGCAAAGUGGUUGCUCAUAGGCUCAAAUCCUCACAAAGUUGGUAAAUUUGCCAUCAAAUCAUGUACACUCUUCAAAUGAAUCAACCAUCAAUAGUGGUGUAGAAUGGGAAGAAGGUAUGAGUGAAGGAAAGGUAAAAAUGAUAAGAAGUGAGAAAGAUGUAUGUAGUAAUAUGAAAAGUGAAAGAUAAAAUGUGAGUGAUGAAAGAGUAUGAUAGAAUAAAAAUAGAUGUAAAUAAUUUGAGAUAGAUGGGAAAAAAGUAGUGAGAAAGAAAAGAAAAGAAAAAUAAUAAUAUAUGAAGCAUACUAACUCCAAAAUCAUUUAAGGAUGAGUAGAGUGAAAAUAGAUGAGUAGAGUGAAAACAAUAAUUCCAGACAUCAAUAAUGCAAAAAUCCCUCCCCCACACCAAGAACUGACAUUGUCCCCAAUGUAAGAUAAUCAAAGCUCACAUAAAAAUUAAAGCGUAAGGAUAAAAGAUUAAGGGCAAAAACUUCCCUGAAUUGUGAUCUUUGAUCCUCAUAACGUCUAUAGGCUUGGCGGGAAUGGUGGGAUAAAUCCCACACUCUUGAAGUAUGCGGCCAAAUUCUGCUCCAUCUUGUCACGGAUUUCGAUUCACGCGCCUGGAAUGCAGGUCGUAGGCUGGUUGCGUUGCGAUUGCUGCUCGGCUGGAGCUUGCUUGAUGGACGCGGGAUGGCACUGAUUGUGUUGCGCGCGCGCGCUGGGGCUGCUGGAUCUGCACGCUGCGUGGGCUGUGUUGCGAGGCGUUGCUGCUGCUGCUUCACGAGGGUGAUUGCUGGAUUGAUUUGUGCUGUGCGCGCGGGCUGGAGCUGAGGAUCUGUGUUGCGGGGCGUUACUGCUACUGCUUCGCGGGAUGUGUUGCGCGCACGGUUGCUGCUGAUUUCGCACGAUGGUGAUGGCUGGGGCUUGCUGCGUUGCGCGCGGCAGCUUUCGCUGGUGGGACUUCGUUGCGCGCUGCUGGGCUGCGAGACACGGGAUGCUGGUGCUGCGCUCACGGGAUGGUGCGUUUUCCGGCGGGCUGGUUUGUUGCAGGUGUGUUGCAAGCGGCUGGAGAAGAAAACAAGUUCUGGAAAAUUAGGGAUUUUGUGAACAGUGAAUAGUGAACAGUGAUUUUCGAUUUUUGGUUUUUUUUUAAAUAAAUAAAUAAAUAAAAAGAAAGAAAGGAAUGAAAAAAAAAAGAAAAAAAAUAAAAAUAAAAAUAAAAUAAAUAAUUUUUUUUUUUUUUUUUUUUAGUGAUGAAUCACUUUGAGACACUAAAAAUUUCAGAAGUACUUUUCUAAUAAGUACGUGGGCACGCCUUAUAAAAAAUUUUCUUCUGACCAAAAUAAGCAAACACAUUAAAUUUCAGAAGUACUUUUCUAUUAAGUACGUGGGCACGCCUUAAAACUAUGUUACUUUAAAAAUUACAGAAGUACUUAUUAGCUAAGACGUGGGCACGCCUUAUCAAAAAUUUUCUUCUGACCAAAAUAAGCACAAUUUUUUUUUUUUGAAUCAAAAUUAAAAGAAGAUAUAACAAAAACCAAAAUAAAUAAAUCAUUUGGGUUGCGUCCCAAAAAGCGCCUUUGUUUUAUGUCUUUGGCUAGACACAUUUAUGCAUCAAUCUCCAUAAUUGGGACUCUCGAGAGCCACAUCCUCCACAAUAUUCACCGAAAAACCUUCAUAAAAAGGUUUUAAGCGAUGACCAUUAACCUUAAAAAUUUUGUCAGAGGUCGGACUCUGAAUCUCAACUGCACCAUGAGGAAAAAUAUUAGUAACAAUAAAAGGUCCAACCCAACAAGAACGUAAUUUACCCGGAAAAAGUUUAAGCUUAGAAUGAAAAAGAAGAACUUUUUGACCAACAGAGAACUCCUUUCUCAAAAUCAUUGUAUCAUGAAAUGUCUUCGUCUUUUCCUUGUAAAAAACUUCCUGCACUAUAAGGUUAAUAACAUCCACAGAAAAUACCGAAUGUUCCUCACUAGGAUAUUUCAUGGCAUCAUUCAUAUUGAAUUCUAUAACCUCUCCAUCAAACUCCAUAGUGAGAGUCCCUUUAUGUACAUCCAUUUUAGUCCUAGCAGUCUUAAGAAAAGGUCUUCCUAGCAAAAUUGGGACAGAAUUAGAGGAGUUAUCAUCUUCCAUAUCAAGUACAUAAAAAUCAGCAGGAAAAACCAACUCAUUAACUUGUACUAAGACAUCUUCUAAUACCCCAUCAGGAUAUGCAUUAGACCUAUCAGCUAGUUGAAUUAUCACGCCAGUUUCUUUUAAUGCACCAAUAUUCAAAGACGAAUAAAUGGAACGAGGCAUGACAUUAAUAGAAGCUCCUAGAUCUAACAUAGCCUUUUCAACUUUGACAUUACCAAUUUUGCAAGGGAUAGUAAACAUACCUGGAUCCUUGCACUUAGGAGGUAGUUUCUUUUGGAGAACUGCUGAAACAUUCUCCCCCAUAUGAACUUUUUCAUCUCCUCUUAAUUUUCUCUUAGAGGUGCAUAGUUCCUUAAGGACUUUAGCAUAUCGAGGUAUUUGUUUUAUAGCAUCUAAUAAAGGAAUAUUUACCUCAACCUUGCGAAAUGUCUCAAGGAUGUCUUUCUCUUGUUCCUCCUUCUUGGAUUUUGCAAACCGGCUUGGAAAAGGAGGAGGUAUCACAAUAGGUAGGGGUUUCGCUCUGGUGGGUUGUGCAUCUUGAGAUUGAGGCAUCAAUUCAUUCUUCUCAAGCUCAUCUUCUACAUGCUCUGUCACUUUCUUACUAGGCUCUUGCAACUCCUUCCCACUUCUAAGGAUGACAGCACUAACGUUUUGCUUUGGAUUCACCUCAGAUUGUGAAGGCAAUCUCUCUAAUACUUGAGACUCCAGGCGGCUCAUUGUAGUCGCCAAUUGACUCAUUUGGUUCUCCAAGUUCUGAAUGCUUGUUGUAGUUGCCUGCUGAAAUUGUUGAGUGUUAGUCGCAAGCGAUUUAACAAUUUCUUCAAGAGAUAUACCUGACUUGGAGGUUGACUGUGGAGGUGCUGGUUGUCUUGGUGGAUACUGUUGUGGGAAUCCUGACGGCCUAACUCCAUAGCUGAAGUUGGGAUGAUCCUUCCAUCCCGGAUUGUAUGUUUGUGCAUAAGGAUCAUACCUCCUCUGAGGCAUGCCUGGAAAUCCUCCAACUGCAUUGGCUUGUUCAACGGGUUCUUCUUGAAGUGUAGGACACAUAUCAGUUGAAUGACCCAUAUUGUAACAAAUACCACAAGUCUUCACCUGUUGCACAUUACCUACAACAAACUUUUCCACAAGAGAAGUGAGUUUAUCUAAACGUUGUUCAACAGAAGAAAUAUUUACCUCAUUCACCUUCCUUGAAGUGGGAUCUUGCCUGCUGCCAAAUUGUUGUGUGUUGGUAGCCAUAUUUGAUAUCAACUCCCUUGCUUGAGUAGGAGUCUUGUUCACCAACACGCCUCCACUAGCAGCAUCUAUCAUACUUCUAUCCAUCAAUGAUAGUCCUUCGUAAAAAUAUUGAAUAAGAAGUUGAUCAGAAAUCUGAUGCUGAGGACAGCUGGCACACAAUUGUUUGAAUCGCUCCCAAUACUCAUACAAAGUCUCCCCAGGAAGUUGUCUAAUCCCACAAAUGUCUUUUCUGAUGUUGGCAGCUCUUGAAGCAGGAAAGUACUUCUCGAGGAACUGCUUCUUCAAAUCAUUCCACGUUGUAAUCGAUCCAGGAGGCAAGUAAUACAACCAGUCUUUAGCUAGCCCAUCUACAGAGAACGGAAAAGCACGCAGCUUAAUCUGCUCUUCAGUCACGCCUUGUGGUCUCAUACUUGAACACACAACAUGAAACUCCUUGAGAUGUUUAUGAGGAUCUUCACCUGAAAAACCAUGAAACUUGGGUAAUAAAUGAAUAAGACCAGACUUUAAUUCAAAAUUUACCUCCAAGUCUACAUAUUGAAUGCAGAGUGGUUGCUGAUUCAAGUCUGGUUCAGCUAACUCUCUAAGAGUUCUUUCUAUAGGUGCAGGUCUAUCCAUCACUUGUUCUUCCGAAUCGCUAGAUGAUUCAACUAAAUCAGGCACCGUAUCUGUUUCAGAAAGCAAAGGCGACGAGGAUCGUUGCUUAGCUCGCUUCGUCUGUUGUCUCAGCUGGCGAGCUGUCUUCUCAAUUUCAGGAUCAAACGAAAGUGUACCUGUACGAGAAGAACGAACCAUACACCAAGUAAAACGUAAAAAAGAUUAAAUAAAUGACACCAAUCCCCGGCAACGGCGCCAAAAUUUGAUGGGUGUCGAAGCCAACAAAAAUAAAUUCCUACUCUAAAUAAAUUGUGUAUAGUGAUUGAGCAGGGUCGUGUCCACAGAGAUCGGUAAUUAUUUAAAUCCUUUUGAAACGUAAAACGUAAAAUGGGGGAAUUGUUGACAAUAAUAAAAAUAAAAUUAAAAAUAACAAGAAUGCAAAUUAAAGUUGUAAUUCAAAUUGGAGAAAGCUCUGGUUGAAGGAAUUAGCUUAGCUUGAUUCGACUACUGAUCAUUGAUUCAAAUAUAGAUUAUUAUUACUCAUGAAUAGACCGGUUAUAGCUACUAAGACCCUCUAAUAGCCAAUCUCUCCUUAACUAGUCGAUAACCAAGGUACGACCGUUGGUUAUUUCCCUAAUCAAUAGACAACCCUAGAUACGAUCAUAGAAUUUAAUCAAUUGACAGCCUGAAAAACCAGAGAGACCCAAAUCCUAAUCAACACAUAUGAUGAUUCAUUUAAAUUAGAUUGUUUAUUCUCACAACACAACUCUCUGCUAUGUUAUUUGUCACAAACAUUAAAUUCUUCAUACGAUGAAUCCUUUAAUUGACAAUAGAUUAAGUUGAUAAUUAAAUAGUGGCCAAUUACCUAAUUAACAAACAUAAUCAUGAAAAUAAUUCAGAGAAUAAACAAAUACCCAAAAAGUAAUAAAACAAUUAAAGCACAAGAAAGAUCUCACAGUAGUGAUGAAUCAAAGCUUCAUUAACCUUCAACCAGAAAAAUGAGUUUAGUUCCUCAUAGAGAGAAGAGAAAAAUUAGAUCUAGGGUUUCUUUUCCUCCAAUCCAAAAAUCCCCCCUUUUUCACAAUAGAUUCCUCCCUUAAAUACUCUCUCUCUCUUCUUUUUUAGAAUUCUAUUUAAAAUAAAAUACUAAUAUCUGAAAUAUUAAGUUCGUAAUUACAAAAAUAACCAAAAAUACAAAACACGUUAAACUAAAAACUGCAGGUCCACAGUUGACAGCACGCGCCCACGCCUUAUCAACAAAGUUCUUCUGACGCUCAUAAUUUCUCCAAGAGAACAAUCCUCCUUAAACAUCAUCUUUUAGCUCAAUUUUAUCACCAAUCAAUAGAAUUGCACCUACAAAAGUAAAACACAAGUAAAACAUUAUUAUUAAGUGCAAAACAUCGAUAUUAAGGGAAGUAAACAAUGCAAAACUAGUGCAUAAAUUGCACUCUAACAGCUUACAAGUGCUAAGGCCAAAAAAUUAAUCUUGGGGAAGAAUUUAAUGAGUGACUUCUUAUUUUUAUAUCCUUAAAAUUUAUUUUUAAACCCUAGAUUUUGGAGAAAUACUUUUCUUAAGGGCUGGAAGCAAAUGUUUUAGAUUGGAAUUUGAAUGAGUGCAAACUAUGUUAUUGUCAGACAUCAAAAAUCAAAUUAGCAUUUAUUUUCUUGUCUUGUCUUUAGCUCCAUCAAGUUCGUUGAUGCAUGGUCUUUGAAUUUGAAGGUAUUAAAUCCAAAAUGGAUUCUCUCACAUCCAAUAUCAUUUUACUCUUAAAUUUAUCUAGUGAGCAGAUUUUGAUGCUUGAUUCAAGUAGAAAAACAAUUGUGAGGACUGUGAGGAUUUUUUUUUAAAUUAAAAACCGCCUUAAGAUGGGGUGUGGGUUUAGGCGGGACCCCUUCAUUAGUAAAUUAAUAAAAGAAAAGAAAAUUCAUAUGGAGAGAGAUAUAUGCCAAAACCUCGAAGCAUGGAAACAAAUACAUCCAAUAACUAGAAAAAUAACAAAAGCAAUAGAAGAUAGGACUAAUUAAUGCAACCAUCUAGAGAAUCGCUUCCAAUUCCUGCGGCUAGUAACCAAUGUGAAACCUUUCUUAGAAUUGGAGGCACGCGGUCCGGUCCGGCAAUACGAAAGUCAUCAAGAUCAUGCCCUCUAGUACCCUUAGGCUCAAAUGCAAAAUAUUCAUUAGUCACAGGAUUCCCAUCAGAGCUAAACUUCUCAUCAAAUUGAAAAAGGAUAUCUGUAGAAUGGGGAUUGAAGCCCACGAUCAUGGAGCGAAUAUCCUCUUCAGUAGCUCAAAAAAAAGUAGCAUCGAUGGAAGCCCUCUAAACACCUGGAUCAUCUAAAAAAGGAGGGUUAGAGACCUCAGUGCAUCCAGUAGCAUCUCUUAAAGCAGUAGGAUUCUUCAAACCAUCAUCAGUUUGAACUCUUUUCAUAGAAACCAGAUCAAACCCAUCUUCUGUAGUAUCCUGAUAAAUAGGUGACUGAGCAUCUAGAAGAGCACCCUCACUACCAUUCGACCUCAAUGGCUCAACCUCUUUGCCAUCCCCUUUGGAUGCACAAUAGCAUUAGACAUCAGCAUCUUGCCUUUAUCAUGAAGAACAAUAUCCCGCACCUGAUUAACUGGCUGCCAGGGCUCUCAGAGCCCAGGAUUGGCAACAAAAAAAGUAUCAGUAGAGUACCCAAGAUGCUUACACGAAGCAUAGUAUAAAGGAACACGCUCAAAAAUGACAUUCUGCCAGAAAAUGCCAUCACCUUCACUAGUCCAAAGUUUGGGCAACAACGGCCGCAAAACAUCCAACUCAAUCGGAACUCUAGUGAUCGAGGGUUGAUUAACAACAACAGUAGCAUGGUCCAUCCGUAGAGGCUUACCAAUAGCAUUAGCAAUAGAAAAUAAGACAUCUUUGCAAUGAAUAAAAUGCACUUGCAAAUACGGCAAAGAAACUCAAGUAAGAAGAAUAGGAGAUUCCUCAAAGCACCAAAAUGAAGUCUAUGAGACUACGCUACAUGAGACUCAAACACAAAGGCCUAAUUCUUGGUAAGGCUGCCCACCUAAAUCCACUUGGAAAAUGUUCAAACAUACUUUUGAUAAUGUAUUUUAGUCUGUGAGGGUUGACACAAUAGAAUUUGGAUUCGAGAUGUUUACGGUUGCGAAGCUUCUGUAAGUGUUCUUGGUCCAUUGUAAACUCACAUUAUUUUCAUAGUGAAUUGUUUCGUCUACAAGUGGACAUAAUAACAUGUCGAGAUUUUUAUCCUAAAUCGCGAGGAUCAAAGGUUUUCUUGUAAAAACAUCUAUGUGUUGUGGAUGUCCAUUUAUUUUGCAUAUUUAUUUUCAUUACCAUAAAUUGAUUUUUAAAUUUAUUGAUAGUGUUUAUUAAAUUAUCUUUAUUAACUAGGAAAUAAAAUCAUUAAUUUUAAAGAGAUUAUUAUUAUUAUUACCAAGUAUAUAAAGAUAAUGAAAUAAAAAAAUAAAACUAAUAAUAUAAAUAUUUACUUUAGUUAUCAAUUAUUAUAUAUACACACAAUUAAAAAUAUUUUAUAUACAUACAUUAUAAGUAUGAAAAUAAAUUUUAUUCAAAACUAUGUCCAAUUUAAUCAUUUAUAUUCUUGUCAUUUACAAUCUUAUUAUAAUUUAAUAGUAAGAUUUACCAAAUACAUAGAUUGUUUUUUAAACUCACAGAACUUUUGAAAAAUUGUAUCAAACGUUUAAUUGGUUAUCUUUAUAGUUGACUAUUUUUACAGUACAGUUAGCAGUAAUUAUUUUAAAAACUAUAAUAUUAACAAAAUGAUCCAACAUCUUUUAAGGACCCAGCUGAAAUUUAACUAAUACAGGUUUACCAUUACUAUAGAUUGCCGGUAGUUUUAACUAUUUUUAAUUAAUUAUUAAUAUCAACCGUUGGAUUCCAUUCCAUUCUAAUGGAAUCCAAUGGCUUCAGCAUGGGUGAUGGGCAGAGUGGCAUGGACGCGUAAUCAAUUGAAAAGCCAGAUAUUCUUCGCUUAGAUUCCUUGAAGCUUCCAGCAAGCUCGAUGCUAACUCCAUCGUGUGAGUAAUCGAUUGAAAAGCCAGAUAAUUUUCAUUUAGAUUCCUUGAAGCUUCCAGGAAGGUUGAUGGUAACUUCAUCAUUAGAGUAAACAAAGACGAUAUUUUUGAAGCAACAAAUAUGUUUCACUGAUUAACUUAGCUUUCUUUGAAGCAACACUUCAAUGAAAUUCAACAGGUAGCUGCCUGUGCAAUUAAUACACUCAAAGCUUUAAGAUUUAUUUUAAGUUUUAUCUUAUACAUGUUUCUCUCAAAUACAAGCUUUUAGCGCGGCAUGCAAAAUACACCCCGUUUAAAUCUAAUCACACCUCUCUAAUUUUUUUUUUUUUCGCCCCAAAGACGUAAUGGAGUAGUCAAAGGGUAUAACCAUUAGAUUCCUUUCGCUUUUUUGCUUUUUUCACCCCCACUUUCUGAGAAGACCAAGACUUGCUUUUGGAAUACAUAUAAAUAAAUCCGGGGGAGCUGGAAGUUGCAUUUUUGUUUUCCCUUUGAAUCAAAACACUUCAUCGGAGUUGAUCAGAUCAAUUAGGUGGCUUCUUUCAACACACUCAAAGCUGUAAGUUUUAUUUUAUCCUCAGAAUUAAUUUGCACAUUCUGGAUGUUUAGAACAGGAAAUAUAUAAAAUUGAAAGAAAGCUUUGAAUGUUUAAAUUAAUUUGUAUAGUAUCAACUCUUUAAUUUGCUUCUCUUUGAGGCUCUAAUUAAGAUUUGCUUGAGCAAAGGUCGGCAAACACACUCUCCAAUCAGAAUCUGAAAAACUUUUUAAUUAUAUUUUGGAAGUAAAUGAGAGGCUGUUAAUUAGUUUGUUUAGUUAAGAAGAAGAUCAUUAAUUUGUUGUUCAAUAAUUUUAUGCUAAAAGAAAUUAUCAUAGUAAUUAUAUUAUUUUCAUUUUUGUGCUGCCCAUAAUCUUGAAUGAAUCUUAUUGUUUGCAUGGUAUUUUACGCUCACUGGAUUUCACUUGAUUUAUUCUAAAUUUUUAGGAACAAAUUAAUAUAAUGGCUUCCACGAGCUUCCAAAAUGUCUCUCAUGGGGAAUACGAUGCCUUCUUAAGCUUUAGAGGAGAAGACACCCGUAAAAUGUUCAUAGGUCAUCUCUAUACUGCCUUGAACAAUAAAGGAAUUUAUGUAUUCAGGGAUGACAAACAACUUGAGAAAGGAGGAUCCAUUUCACCAAAUCUCCUUAAAGCAAUUGAAGAAUCAAGAAUUUCAAUUAUUGUUCUCUCAAAAAAUUACGCUUCUUCCACUUGGUGCUUGGAUGAACUUCUUAAGAUUGUUGAAUGCAAAAAUAGAGAGGAUCAAAUUUUUCCAAUUUUUUAUGAAGUGGAACCAACUGUUGUAAGAAAACAAACAGCAAGUUUCGGAGAAGCUUUUGCUAAACAUGAAGAAUUUUUCAGGGAUAAUAUAGAAAAAGUGCAAAAGUGGAGACACGCUUUAAAGGUGGUGGCCAAUAUAUCAGGCUGGGAAUUGAAGGAUAGGUAAUCAUUCUUUUUCUCAACUAUUAAUUUUGUUCGUUUUGCAAGAUUAGUAACUACAAAACAGAUUUUAAUAUUCAUUCAACACUGUUUUCAAUUAAACAACUUCUAUUUAAUACAUAUGUAUAUCGUAUGAUGUGUAGUAAAAGGGUUCCUCCCGUGAAUUGAAUAUCUUUAAAAUAUACCUUCACUUUUGAAAACUUCAAUUUACCUCCCAUUUUUGUUAAGAAUACAAAAACAUUUCAUCAACUCACCCCAUUUUUCCUUCUCUUUUGAACAAAAAUAGGGUAAUUGAGGUGUUCAAAAGGGAGUGAUUUGAAGAUAUAUAAAAUUUUGAAAUUACCAAUCACAAUGCAACCCAGUCCAAUCCAAUUUUUAUUGGGUUGGGUUUGAAUUUCUCAUUCCAAUUGUUGUUGACUGAUGUAAUAAUAACAUAUUGUUUAAUUAUAUGACUUCAAUUUGAUGAAAUGAAUAUUGCAUAGUUUGGAUUUUAUUCAUAAUAUGGAAUUGAUUUGUUACUACGUUCAUACUAACUUUGAUUUAACAAUACCAAUCUUUUCUUGUUGUUUUCAAUCUGCAGGAAUGAGUCAGAAUUUAUUGAGGAAAUUGUCAAUGUCAUAUCUAGUAAAAUUCGUUCAGAACCAGAGAUUCUUAAGGAGCUAGUAGGAAUGGAAUCACGCUUGGAGAAACUGAGGUUUCUUAUGGGUACGGGGUCUAAUGAUGUUCGUAUGAUCGGGAUAUGGGGUAUGGGAGGUCUAGGAAAGACAACUCUUGCAAGGGUUGUUUAUGACUUGAUGUCUCAUGAGUUUGAUGGGAGUAGUUUUCUUGCCGAUGUUAGAGAAAAAUUUGAAAAAGAAGGCAGUGAAAUCUCUUUACAAAAACAGCUCCUUUCUGAUUUACUGAAGCUUUCAGAUUAUAGCAUACAGAAUGUCUACGAUGGUAUUAACAUAAUUGGAAGUAGGCUGCAACGGAAAAAAGUUCUUCUCAUAAUUGAUGAUGUGGCUGAUGUUGAACAAUUACAAAGGUUAGUUGGAAGGCGUGAUUGGUUCGGUCCAGGCAGCAGGAUUCUAAUAACAACGAGAGAUAGACAAUUGUUGGUGGCACAUGAAGUGGAUGAAGAGCAUAUUCUUGACCUUGAUGUACUAAAUAACGAUGAAGCUCUUCAACUCUUUAGUAUGAAAGCUUUUAAAAGCCAUCAGCCUAUGGGAGAAUAUGUGGAGCUGUCUAAACGUGUUCUGGAGUAUGCUGGUGGUCUUCCAUUAGCUCUAAAAGUUUUGGGAUCCUUUCUAAUUGGUAGAUCUGCAGAUCUAUGGAGAAGUGCCCUAGAAAGACUAAAAAAAGAUCCUUCAAAUAAGAUUAUGAGUAUACUUCAAAUAAGUUUUGAAGGACUACAAGAUUCAGAGAAGAAAAUAUUUCUCGAUGUUGCAUGUUUCUUUAAAUGGAAGAAUAGAGAUUAUGUAACAAAAAUUCUAGAGGGGUGUUGUUUUUCCCCAGCCAUUGGAAUAGAAGUUCUUAUCGAAAAGUCUCUAUUAACUGUUGAUGACGACAACAUACUGCAUAUGCAUGAUUUGUUACAGAAAUUGGGACAACUGAUUGUUACGAGACAAUCCCCCGAAGAACCUGGGAAACGUAGCAGAUUAUGGAAGAAAGAAGAAGUACGCCAGGUGUUGAUAGAAAACACAGUAAGUGAAUUAUUAAAUGAAAAACUUGUUGAUGCUUGCUACUUUAUUUUCCCCAAUUAUAUCUCUGACCAAAUUUUCAACAUCUUUACAUUAUUGUUUUAUUCACUCAUCCUUUGCUUAUAAUCUUUAGGGAGGUGAAGUAGUGGAAGGAAUAAUAGUUAAUGCCUACUUUCCUGAAGAUGAGGUUUACUUAAGUGCAAGUGCUAAAGCAUUUUCGCAGAUGACCAACCUAAGACUGCUCAAAAUCAGUAAUGUGCAACUUCCUGAAGGUCUAGAAUACCUCUCUAACAGGUUGCGAUUACUUGAUUGGCAUCGGUAUCCUUUGAAAUCUUUGCCAUCAAAUCUGCAAUUGGAUAAAAUUGUUGAAUUUAAAAUGUGUUACAGCCGCAUUGAAGAAUUAUGGAAAGGAUUCAAAGUAAGAUCAAUUUUUUUUUUGUCACAAAUUUAUAUUUUUCAGAGAAUAAUUGUGGAUAACAAUUUUAUUAUUAU